CAAUCAACAUGACGACAGGUCAACCAACCUCGGUGGAUAUACCGAACGCUACGUCGCAGACUUCAGCUGCGGAGAAUGAAUGGAUGAUUCAUUCGGUGGGUUGCAAAUGCUAAAAUGAGUAUUUGCGGGAGCAGUAGCUCUGCUGCUCAUCCAACCCUGGAAGGGCCAACCAACCGUAUGAUGUCGCUGUGCCCACAUCAACUCCAUUUCACAGCAUUUAAAGCAUUCCAGCCGAUGGGGACCUACAUGUCUGUACCGACGGCCGAGUCUCUCCAUAACGCUGCUGCCGUUGGCUCCAUCGGUGGGCUCACCAGCAGUACCAGGUUGAGCUCCAUGGUCGGUUGGUGUGGCUCAUUCAUAAGCCUCUCUCUCUCUCUCUCUCUCUCUCUCUCUCUGUGUGUAAGUCUUCAUCACUCUCUCUCUCUCUCUCAGACACACACACACACACACACACUAAAUCGGGAGCGGACGAGGGAUGGGUGCCCGCCGAGAUGAUGAUGAUGAUAUCUCUUCAUGGCUUUCAGUCUUCCGACCCUCUCAUAUGCACUUGCAGUUGUGUGGGGGCGGCCACCAGCCUUACUUUUGUCAGGAUUCUGGGGACGAUCCCCAGCCUGCCUUGGAGGAGGACGGCAUGCUCUCACCGAUGCAUGGAUAUGGGACACGGAUGAGCCCACCCGGUCGUGGAGAGAGUGAGAGAGAGAGAGCGCGAAAAGAGGAGUGACAACACGCCAUAAAGCAACCCUACUCCUUCCUAGCUUUCACCACUCCCCUCUUUCUUACUCCUCCCAAGUCCUUGAUGAGGACCAUCGACAUGGGAAGAAGCACUCCUCGUGACUCCCCGUCCUCCCCUUUCUCUUCCUCCUCCACCAGAAGACACUUCCAGUGGAGGAUAAACAAGUGUCCCAAGGAAGGAGCAGCUGAGAGGAAGGAGCGAGAUGACCAGCCGGAUGAAGAGAAAGCCGCUCCCUCUUUCUUGGCCUCCUCCUCAUCCUCAUCCUGUCCUUGCCGAGAAGAGACGGCCGCCGCUGCUGUGCCCAAGAAGAAGAGGACUGCUUCGGUCGCAGACGCUGCGGUCUCCAGGCUUCGGUCGCUUCUCGCGGCCGCGCCUUUCCUCCGCCGGAACCGGAUGGCGGGCCUCGGCGCCCACGUCACGGGGACGCUCUACGGGCACCGGCGCGGCCACGUCCACCUCGCCUUCCAGGCGGACAGCAAGUCGUGCCCGGUGGUGCUGGUCGAGCUGGCCACGGCUACGAGUGCGCUCGUGCGCGAGAUGGCCUCCGGCCUGGUGAGGAUCUCGCUCGAGUGCGAGCGCAAGUCAGGCGGUGGCGGUGAGAAGGCGGAGACGACGACGACAACGGCGACGAGGCUGGUGGAGGAGCCGCUCUGGCGGGCGUACGUCAACGGCAAGAAGUGCGGGUUCGCGGUGCAGCGCGACUGCGGGCCGGCGGACUGGAAGGUACUGAGGGCCGUCGAGCCGGUGUCCAUGGGGGCCGGUGUGAUCCCAGGCGACGGCGGCAGCACCGACAGGGAUGUGAUGUACAUGCGAGCAAGGUUUGAGAGGGUGGUCGGCUCCAAAGACUCGGAGGCCUUCUACAUGAUGAACCCCGACAACAACGGCGGCCCUGAGCUCAGUGUCUAUCUUCUCAGAGUCUAACAACAUCGGACUCUGCUGCUCUGUUUGUGAUAAUAGCCAAACUCCUUAACAUUAAAGUGUAAUCUACAGGUUGUGCUUAGGGUGGGAUGAGUCGCCUUUCUACUUCUUCUCUGGGUAUUGUAAUCCGUCCUCUGUUACUGCUCACUGUGAACAUAAAUCUGCACUGGCUUUUUCCAAGGAAAGCUUCGGCACGGUCUUUUACUUCGCAGCUUGUUUACAGAUCAUGGCAAGCGUAUCACUCGACUGUCAAGUAGAAGAAGAGGAGCUUCCUAUGUUGUUUCGCUUCGGAAGAUGAUUCCAGUAGAUUUCACAGGGUCUUGUCUCUGCCAAACAGCCAGAGGAAUACAGAAACCUCCAUUGCAGACGCUCCUCAAUCAUUGCUGCUGCUGCUGCCAAUUUGAAAUGUUAAAGAGGUUUAAUGGCAGAAGAGCUCCCACUUUGCUAAGGCCAAACAAACUCCAUUAAGGAUUUCUGCAAGCAUCAUCAUGAUUGCAACCUGCUUUUCUAAAGCUGUAGCAGCAGCAGCAGCAGCAGCAUAAAGUGUGACUUGUGUGGUGCUUUCUUCUUCUCCUCCUCCUUGGAUGCAACAAAUCUUUGUUGUUGGUCAAAGUUUUCACAUUUGAUUCCCUGUAAGCUGCUCUUCAGUACCAUCCAACCCUAAUUAUUUAAGGUACUAUGAUGUCAGAACAAGAAGCAUCUUAUUAUUGUAUGAAGCCUCAUCGGAUCCAUUUUACCGCACGGCUUUUGCCACACAUCGUGCAGUGUGAUGGACGCAACUCGACUUGUUCUUCUAGCUUUGCUUGGAUUUUAGCUUCCUCCAUGAAUAAAUACAAUGGAGUAAAAGAUCUAUUGAAUUAGGACAAUAUAGUUAUUAACUUUACAUCUCCUUUUCUUUGAAAGAGUAAAAGAUAAUAGACUACAAAAUAUCCCUUCUUUUAGUGCUUUGUAUCUUUCCCUAUAUUACACUUGCUGCUAUAUGAACAGCUUUGAUUGGGUUUGGGGAUGAUGAAGCCACACACUCUCAGUGUCUGUGUAAUAACCAGUAAAUAUGGUAAAUUUCUUGCAUGAUUAUAGUCUAACAAGGACAUGAUGUAUAUCUAUAUCUAUCUAUAUAUAUAUAUAUAUAGAGAGAGAGAGAGAGAGAGAUCCACAUGAGACAAUUCUGGGGACCAUCUUUGCACAGAUUAAUGUCAUGUUAUUGUCAGACAGGCACCUCCACAUCAUGUAUCAUCCUCAAGAAGAUAUCUUCUAAUAAAUAUUUCAAAAUAAUAUUAAAAAAAUUAUGUUGUUCUUGUCAAUCACCAAUAGCAGAUAGCAAGAGAACAAUCUUAAAAAUUAAUAAUAAUAAAAUCAAUUAAAAAAAUAGUCGAAACAAGAUUUAGCUGGUCUAUGAGCUUCCUCUGCUUUCUCCUACUCUACUGGGGUGGGUGGUUCAUCAAACAUACUCCACAGCUGCAGCCAUUCCAUUAGGAUCAUCCUCCCUCGGUACAAGUUGCCAGCCUUGAAGGGAGGGACAGAGAGUGACCAGUGCUGGGUACAUCAGAGACCAACAAAUCCCAGAGAUUCCACCUCGGUUCUCGUGCUCCGUGGAUCAUCACCGUGCAACCCAACCCUGUUGUAGAGCUCUCCAUGGGAACGCGCUCUUCAGCUGCUGCCUCGAGAAUUCUUCGUCUUGGUGGAGGAUUCAAACAAAGCUCAGGCUUCCGCUUUGCGACUACAUUAGUCUGUCGUUCGGAGCCUCUGCAAUCAUUGCCAUGAAUUCUGUGGCAUGCAAAACUCAUAUGUGCUCGAAUCCCGUUAAAGUGGCUCCUCUAAAAUUUCCAGAGAGCAGUAAAGUGGGUGACGACCAUGGAAUUGGAGUUGCACUGUGCAAUGCAAUGCAGCACUUCAAUUUCAAGUCGCCUUUGUAUCAAUCAUCAUGCGUUACACAGCCUUCUGUGUGGGGGGAAAUUAGCAUCUCUGCUUUAUGCCUUUUUCUUUUUUAUUUCUCUUUUCCCUUCCUUUUACCCUUUUUUUUUUUCUUUGGAUAUAUUAAUUCUUUGUGAGUACAAAUCGAGCAGUUAUGGUCGGCUCACAAUCCAAAUACUAACUUUGGGCUCCAUUAAUGGACGCCAUGGGCCGGGCCUUAUAGUUAUAAGCAAGACCCAUAACCCGUUGGUAUGAUCACCGAUUGUGUGCUUACCGUGCACAAGUCCAGCGACAAAGAGGGCCAAAAAAAAUUUUUUUGGCGUCAAAUCCUUGAUGUUCCGCUUUCUUACCAUCACCGAUGGUGACCGGAAUCCAGAAUUUACUAUUUUGUCCUCCGCGACUAUUACCCUACAGGCAAGACCCAUAAACUGUUGGUAUGAACACCGCCCGUGGACUUACCGUGCACAAGUCCAAAACAAAGAGGGCCAAAAACAAUUUUUUUGGCAUCAAAUCCUUGAUGUUCCGCUUUCUUACUUUCACUGGAGGUGACCGGAAUCCUGAACUUACGAUAUUGUCCUCCACGAGUAUUACCUUACAAGCAAGACCCUAAAAACGGUGGUAUGAACACCACUUGUGUGCUUACCGUGCACAAGUCCAGCGACAAAGAGGGCCAAAAACAAAUUUUUUGGCGUCAAAUCGUUGAUGUUCCGCUUUAUUACUAUCACUGGUGGUGACCGGAAUCUUGAAUUUACGAUUUUGUCCUCCACGGCUAUCAACGGACAGCAAGACCCCUAAACCGUUGGUAUGCACACCGCUUGUGUGCUUACCGUGCACGAGUCCAGCGACAAAGAGGGCCAAAAACAAUUUUUUUGGCGUCAAAUCCUUGAUGUUCCGCUUUAUUACUAUCACCGAUAGUGACUGGAAUCUCGAAUUUACGAUGUUGUCCUCCACGACUAUUAACUUACAACAAGACCCCUAAACCGUUGGUAUGCACACCGCUUGUGUGCUUACCGUGCACAAGUCCAGCGACAAAGAGGGCCAAAAAAAAUUCUUUUGGCGUCAAAUCCUUAACGUUUCGCUCUCUUAUCAGCACCGGAGGUCACCGGAAUCUUCAAACUUGCAGUCUUGUCCUCCACACCUCAUCCCUGCGACCUGCUAAUGCCGUCGUCUUUGACGUGACGAAGAAGAAAGGAGGAGUUGAAGAUCAAACGUGGGAUCUCUCCGAUUGGCGCGUGUUAAUGUGGAAUCCCCACAUUACAGGCUAUCCCCACGCGUGUGUGACCGAAGAGGUUUCUACGUUGUGGAGCUGAGAUAGAACGUAAAAAUAAGGGAAGUCAUGUCUACAUUAUUAUUAUUAUUAUUAUUUACUCCUUUGCUACGUGCAAAGAGAUGGGUUCAGAUACAAAAGAUAGGUACUGAGGUCCAUCACACAUCACAUGGUUUGGAAGUCUGGAAGAGAAAUAGAGCAGAUGUUGAUUCUGAUACUAUCUGUACGAUCCAAUAAACACACCCCUAUUCGUCUCUUCUUUCAUCUCAGAACAAUACUUUGCGAAUGACUCGUGAAUCUAUUUUGGAUUGAGUUGUCGGGUAGAUUCGUAUGCAGUAGAAUUUGGUAGCGAAUGAAAAAUAUAAAUUAGAUUUCUCAUCGAUUGAUUCCAUUGCUGCCCUCAAUCAAUUUCAGUUUUACAUCUAAAACGAUCGAUAUACCAGCUCGAAAGCUGAUCCGAUCGAUCUAUCGAUCGAUCGAUCAUGUAGUCUGUAGCUCCACACGACGCAAAUCACGGUGGCCGGUUCCCCAGAAGAAACAUGUGUUGCUUUUGUUGGUUCUUGAGCUAGGGAUUAAAUGGUUUGUCGCUGGUACUGCUUGCUGCACCUCCCAUGCUACGUACCCUUAUCGAUAGAGGUCAACCCAUCGAUAUAUUUCUUCAUUUAAUGACUAUCUUUGUAGUUGACAUUGAGCCUUGUGGAUUAGAGACAACACUGUACAUAAAAUCCUUAUUCUAUUCCACUAAUAGCUCGGCUUGGAUCCUUGUGCUGCCAAUAAUUUCACAGCAGAAAAUGGAGUCUUCUUCUCUACAAACUGAUGAGGUAGACAAAAGGCCAAAUUCAUUGCACUGAUGAACUCAGUUAGCGUUACAUCUGAGUUACAAAUGAAAAGGGAAAGGGAACAAGUCCUUCCUGGCUUCAAUCCAUGGCUGUUUUGGGUCACUGCUUAGACCUGCGGUUCCUGUCUCCGUGAGUGGAUAAGAUGGCAUCGAUGGCUUCCUUUGCUUUCCCAACAUCUGGUGCUUUCCCCCCUUGCGCCGGCCAGAACUCAUCGGUUGCCAACACCUGCAUGGGAUUGAUUCAAAGGCCUCAUUCAUUUAUUUCACGCCGAAGAAAAAUAUUGUUCGGAAGGAAAACAUCAGUGUCUGAUCUCGCUACCUUCACUUGCAACUGAAGGAACUUCACGUAGCUAAUCGCUUUCUCUAGCAUGGUCACCAAAUCAACCUACGUAGAUUUUAAUGGAGAACACAUGCGGCAGCUAUUAGUGCUAAUCAGACAACCGUGCAGGAAACAGAAUUAGGAACGCGAUUAGAUGUGAAGCGAGACAAACCUUUGUGCCAUCGGGAACGAGGCCUUGUAGAACUUUGAGCCGCUCACUGAUCCGUUCCCUCCGGUUCUGCAACAAGGAUGCACCUGUUAGUCGACCUAAUCUGCGAGUUACCUCCGAGUGAUUGAUUCUCGGUCAUGUUCUUGACCAUCAAGCCAUAUUACUGAACCCGAUGGAGACGGGGCAGAUGAAUGAGAACACCUUUGCUGCAAUACUCUGAGGAUCCUCGGAUGGGCUAGACUUGUCUUUGGUCUUCCUAGCAUUACCGCACUGCUUCUUGGGACUUUGCAUAUCACAUGCGUACUGCAUCAUUGAACCCAAGAAACCAACCACUUCAAUAAUCGGGUUACGUUAGUAAGUAUCAGCAUGAUCAAAUCUAGAAGACACCAAAAUACCGUGCGCGGGCGCUUUUGCUCCAUGCUUUCUUGAAGGCCAUCAACGGCAGCUGCUGCACAGGGCUUCUCCUUCACGGGGCUUCUUACCGAACCAUACCCGCUUUCCAGCUCCUGAAUCGGCCCGGAAUCGGCAGUUCGACGCGUGAUAUCAGGGCGAUUCAACUGGCAAUUCUGACCCAUGGCGUCAAUCCAGGCAGCGCAUUCGCCCUCGUCGUCGCCUUGCUCGAAACUAAGCACCCAAGCGUUGGAGUAGGCCCAGUGUUCGGAUGAGGUGGUUCUACAGUCGAUGAAAGAGAGGACUUCUUCGGGCGGGGAAUUCACCGUACCAUGCACGUACGCAGUGCUGGACGAAUUGCCAGGGUCUGAUAGGAAAGGAAGAAGACUGCCAGUGUAGCUCCCCAAGGAAUCAGAGGUUUCUCCCUCUCGGAGCAUCAUACCGAAUAGCUCAAGCGGGCACACUUGUGAGCCUUCUCGAUUACGAUCUCUUGCGAGGGACAUGAAGAGGUGUGAAAUCUGCUGAGUAACACAAGGGAGAGGAGAGGGGAUUUGCUACUUGUGGUGGUGCUGUUCUUGCAUGUUGUUAUAUACGCAUGCUUCGAGUCGCGCCUCAUAUAAUUAAAGUGCAUGUGGGUGAGAUUCUGUAUAUGAUCAGAAUUAAAUGCAACUUAGCAGUUGCAUGUAACUUUGCGAGGAGUCGUUAGGUGGCAUGAAAAGAAUGAAUGGAGGAGAGUUGGAAGCAAAAGGGACGCCGGAAGUCUGGGAAUCCCAUGUGAGUUCCUCCUUCCUUUCUCAUCACUUCCACAACCCUGGAUCGAGUGGCCAUGAAUAUAAAUCUUGUGGCCAUCCCCUCGAGACAUGUUUGAUUCUAGACAUUACACUCGGAAGCUUCUAAUGCUUAGUUUCUUCUACUCAUCAGAGAUGAACACACACGCUUCAACCAGAUUCCAUUCAUGCAUCCUACCAUCUGGUACAUGAAGCUCCCGUUCUCGUCGCUGCCAUUUCUCUCAUAUAUGAAGCCUCUUCUCUUGUUAAUGUAAUGUAUCUCGAAUAAACAAACAUGUAUGGGAACCCUUUUUUUGAUGCAAUGCUCAAGAAAGCUAUACUAGGAUAUUGUGAAUCUAAGACUUAAAUUAGAUUGAUUUGUAAGAGAUACAUUGUUGUUAAUUAGAAAUGAAACAUUUUAGGUUAGUAUAUUAUUCGAUAGCUGUGUUUAUGUUACAAUUUAAUUUGAAAUUAACUUAAAUAUACUGUUGUACGGACGAUCUGAUUCCGUUUGAUGUAAUCGUCAAUUGACGUCUCUCGUGGAUACAUGAAUCCAUCACGCUUCCUCCUCAUCCCAAUCAAUCAAUGAUUCCCACAGAUCGCCUUAAUCUUUCAAGAACCGCAAUUAACUCCGUCUUCCGCUUCGACUAUAAUAAUACCAAAUUAAGUGAAAGCCUCUCCGACUCGGCGAUGUUUCGAUCCACAUAUACGUAGGAUUCUUCCCAACCUCGAAAAGAGGCAGCGGGCCGGCCGGAGCUCCUCAAGGUUCAUCUCUCUCUCUCUCUAUGUGCUUUUAUAUAUAUUGGCCAUGAUCCCAAGAAAAUACAUAUAUAUUACGAUGUUUAACAUGAUGAGUUGUUUUUGCAGUAAAUAAAAUAUAAAGGAACUUAUAAUUAAUUUUCAUUUAUGUAGUGUUUCUUACCUUUUAGACGAUGAUGUUUAAAAUUCUGUAACAAAAAGGUGAUUGCAUCGAAGGCUUCAUCAGAAUAUUUUCCUGUUUUUGUUUUCAAUUAGAUGUUUAAAUUUUUCAAUUUUUUAUUGUUUAUAAAGAUCAUGGUAUGGUAUGACCUGAUCUGUGUUAUAUUUUUUCUUUCCUUUUAAUUUUGGUUCGAUGUUUGGGAGACUAAUAAUUUCUGUUUGGAUCUUUGAAUGUAUUUGGAGAUGUCUAAAAUAUUUAUUAUUUAGAGUAUUUUAUGGAAGUCAAAUUGCAUACAUUCUAAAGAAGGAUAAUAGAAGACUACAUUAGAUUCUUUUGGUGUAAUCGUCAUCAGAAAUAAUUGUUUGUAUUGAUAAUAAAUUUUUUCGUUUCUUAAUUAUAAAUCUAAUUCCAUAAACUGUCUAAAUUUUUUCGUAUUGAUAAAAAACAACAGUUGUAAUUCCAUAAACCGAUGAAGAAAUUAGAGAGGCAAUCUUGUAGAUAUGGAGAUCAUAAUUUUGCGAUGAUAAAUGGUGAACAAGCAUUCAAUACACAAUCAUCAUAUCAAUAAUAAUUUUGAAUCCUGUAUGAUGAUUUAUGUGUAUUUUUUACGUAUCUAUAAUAUUUACAAUUAAUUCUUUUCACUCAAAUAUUACGUGCAGACAGGAGUAGCCAUGGCGGAAGAGGAGCUCGACGUCAGGCUUCUCGUGGACAAGAAGCACGAACGCGUCGUGCUGGCCGAGUCAAGCAAGGAUUUCGUGGACACACUACUGAGCUUCCUCACGCUGCCCGCCGGCACCGUCGUCCGCCUUCUUGGAAAGCGCGCCUCCCUCGGCUGCAUGGAUCACCUCUACCAGAGCGUCGAGAAGUUGGACACGGAGCACCUGCAGACCCGAGCCUGCAAAGCCAUGCUGCUCUCCCCCGUGAGCGCGUCCCACCGACGUUGCGAGAACCUAAAGCUCAGAGCCGACGACAAGUGGCCGCAAAAGUUCUUCUCGUGCCCCAAGUGCGGAUUCCCCCCCAAGGGCUCUGGGAUGUUCAGCCUCGUUCCGGACACGUUGUGCGCCUGCGGACGGAUCAUGGUGCAGCAACGAGACGUACACUUGGGCAAGAAGCAUUCCGGAGCCAAUGGCGUCGAUGGAGUUUUCGUGAAAGGAGGCGCCAUGUUCUUAGUUACUGAUGACCUGCGUGUGGCGGAGAGCUCCGUGGAGAAUGCUUUAGCGGUGUUCCGAAGGUAUGGCAUCCAAGAUGGCAACGGCCUGGAGGAGAGGUUCGUGAAGAUUGGGAGAAGCCGGGUGAGUACUCCUUGUCUCCACACAGUAAAAGUUACGUAAACCUUUCACUCUGCUGAAUCAAUCUGCUUCCAUGGCACGAUAGAUUCUGAAGCUGCUGGAGAGAUCACUCGUAUCCAGGACUCCCUUGACCGAUGUUUUCCUGGAGACGAGCAGCACGAGUGAUUUCGAAGAUGUGAUCGAUCUGACAUACAUAUCUGAAGGAGGUCGCCCCUGCAGAAAUGACAUGGCCUCCGAGUCCAAGGAGAUGGUCGUGAGGCUUCUCCGAGACAAAUCCAACGACGACGUGAUCUACGCGGAAGGAGGGGAAGAUUUCGUGGACCUACUCUUCAGCUUUCUCACCCUUCCUUUAGGGUCCUUGGUAAGGCUCUCCGGCGGAAGCUCCUCCAUCGGAAGCGUCGAUAACCUGUAUCGAAGCGUGGAGCAGCUGGGCGACUACAUCAGGUCGGAGAAUUGCAAGCUGGAGCUCAUAGCUCCGAAGCUGGCCUCCAGUUUCAGCUGCGAUGUACUUGUGUCGCUCUUGGGGUUGGAGGAAGAUAACUCGUGCAUCAGCAGCGAUGUCACGGGGGUCGAAGCUAAGGUGUUUGCGGUUAAUCCCAAGUCCCUGCUUCCAAGCAAAGAACUCGGAGGAGCAUACAUGAAAGGACCAAGAAAGUUUCUGAUCACAGACACUAUGGAUGUGUCGCCAUUCAACAGCCGGGAGGCGUUGGACCUCGUCUUCUCCAAGGAUGUAUACUUCGAAAACCUGAGGGAGGAGACGGUCACACUGGGUGAAGCAGAGGUAGUAGUUAGUGAUCUCUUGCCCUUCUAAUUCAAAUAGACUUGUUGAAUGUUCUUUCGGUGUUGCAGGCUUUGAAGCUUCUGAAAGCAUGUUGGGUCUCUAGCAGGACUCUGACCGAUGCCUUCGCCAAAUUCUUCUGAAGCUACGCGAUACACGGCAAGAAAUCUAGAUUGCCUCUCUAUCUCAUGCUCCUCGUUUAGAUUCUGUUAGUCUUCUCGUAGUGUCUUUGCGACAAUUUUUAGAAUCCAACUACGAUUGUUCGAUCGGUUGUGUUAUUGAAACAAUGAUAAUAAUACUCGAUUAUAUCUAUGAAAUUUAUGUGAGAGAAUAAAGAAUCACCGGACACAUUUGUGAUGUAUCUGCUACUUCUUAUAAGUAGAUUUAGGAUGGACUUGGUGACACCAGUCAAAAUAUGUGAAUGAGAUCCGAAUGUAUCUACUUCAAGCAGAUUCGAUUCCUUUGAAUGAGCUCUUAAUAUAAUGUUUAAUGUAAUAAAAAGUUUUUUUUUUUUAAGAGGACCAAAACAGAUUACUUGAAAACCUCUAAAUGAACAUCAAGAACAAGAUUGAUUAUAUAUAUAUAUGAUAAGAUAUUUUUAUAUGAAGGAUAAAAGCAAGGAGGUGUUUUUAUAUGAUAAGAUAUUUAACGGUGACCGCGGCAUCAUCGAUCAUAGUUUCGAUGGACCAGCUGGGCCCCGAUCCCGCGCUCGGCGGCUGCGCGGAUGUCCGGCUCGGCCAGCUGCGAGCGGCACAGGAGGCACGACAGGUUCAGCUGGUGGUGGAGCCAGUCGUCAAGGCACUCCCUGUGGAAGACGUGGCUGCAGGGAAGCCGCCGGACGCGGUCUCCGUCGGCGAGGCCGCAGAGGCACACCGCGCACGCCGGCCGCCGGCCCACCCCCCGCUCCUCCGGGUAGUAGAAGGGGAAGGCCCGAUUGGAGAGGAGGUGGUCCGCCAGGACGACGAGGCCAGAACCGACGGACGGCUCGGGGUCGGCAGCGGAUGCGGACAUGGGAGGAGGCGAAGAAGAACCGACCGGAGAUGGACGAGGGAAGCGGCGGCGGCGGCUAGGAUGAGGAGGGGGAGAGAAUCACCGGAAACGCCGUGGAGAUGAUUGGAGAGACCCAUCGCGAGAGGGAGAUGAUGGUCGAGUGCAAGAGUGAGCACUAUAUAUGCAUAUAUCGGGCGGCUGGUAGAGUCGGAAAAAGGCGAAGAUGACUUGGCCUGUGUCUUCCCCAGAGAAAGCAUCUACCAAACGGGGGAAUGUUGAGUGGCUCGCCUUCCUUCUUCUUCUUCUUCUUCAGUCUUCCAACUUAAUUAUUCUGCCUCAUAUAUUGUGCCGUGCUCUUCUCCACCACCACCACCACCAUUUUAAUUAAGGAGUGAGAACAUGGGGGCACAUGUCGUAUGUAGCACAAGUUCCCCAUACUAAACGCCAAUCUGGGAAGGAAGUAAUAGCAACUUUUGUCGAAAGCUGGAUGGACGGAAUGUCACAUUAACUCCAUCAAGUGGGGGGAGGGGGGGACUGCAGGAACAGCUUGCAUGAGCUGAGACGCGAUGCAGUGUGCGGUGGAUCGAUCGGAAGCACUCAGGUGGUCAGUCUGGUUGGGGCCUCCGGCCAUCGGACAAUCCUUGUUUUGUCCGGAAUCUUGGAGUCAAGUUCAGUGCUAACUCAAGUCCUGUGCUGAGCUUGGAAAAUGCCCCUUUUACUCCCUCCCUCUAAUUAGUGGCCUUCCCCACGUCAAUGGUAUCUGACACCGACGAAUGCUUUUCCCUUUUGUUUUUUUGGCACGUAAUAUUUCAUAACAAAUAUGAAAUUGUGGUUAUCAUACAUAAUAAUAUAACUAACUAUUCAUCGAUUAUUUGUUUGCGAUCCACAAUAGUCGUCGUCGGACAUCAACGAUGAUGAUGAUGAAUUCAGUAGGUUGAUUCAUGAAAGCAUUUUAUUGUAGUCGACCUCAUUCACUGACUGGACCAUUCGAUGGUCGCGUCAGCGUUGACCCCACUUCGCAGCUGGAUGCCUGCCUACCUACCACCUAAAUAAUCUUUCCAUCUCCUUCAUCGUAAUAUAAUUUAUCAUUUUAUCAGUAUAAUUUAAUCCAAAAGAGUGACGGAAAAGAAAUCCAACGAUGCCUCUGCCAUGCUACUGCCGCUGGUGAUGAUGAUGAUGCCGAUGAUGGAGGAGAUGUCGAGCUUUAAGCAGAAGUGGCUUAAACCUCUCCAUGUCCAGCUUCACAUCCUGGUGAUCCAAGUACACGUCCGCCAUCUUCUUCCAUCCUAGCCUGUGGAUGGACUUGGGGUCUCUGAACACCGGGUGGUCUCUCGGGUACUGCUCUGUCAGACUGCUCUCCUCCACGCCGAUGCAGUAUUCCAGGUAGUGCAGCUGCGCAUCCUCGGUGGAGUCCUUGAAGCAGGACCGCGAGAUGUUCUGCAGGUUGCCGUAGGGGACGAUCUGGAUGAUGACGGCGUUGGUGGGCAGGAAGACGAAGUUGGUGAGCCCGGCGCCGUGCACGCCCACCAUCACGUCGCAGGAGUUCACCACCCUGGUGAAGCUGGCCACAUUAGUCCGCGUUCCUGCCUCCGCCACCACCACCUCGUAGUCCAGCUUCUCGGCCGCCCGCACGAUCUCCUCGAAGUUGACGAAUCUCCGUGUCCCGUUCCUCGAUAUCAGCAGCAGCCUCGGCUUCGCGGUCGGGCUCUCCCCCAGCCUGAUCGGGGAGUCCCUCUCCAGCGAGUAGGCGGACCUCAUGAGCUUGGUGAAGUCCACCAUGGAGUACCCGUUGGGAGCUCUCGCGGGGUCGAUGGACAUGGGCUUGUGGCUGUGCAGACCGACCACAACGUGCCGGAAGCAACGGACCUGAUCGUCGUCGUCCAAGAAGAUGAUCUCGUGGCGCGACAGCUGCCUCAGGACCGGUUUGUACUUCCCGAUCCACCAGAACUUUUGCGUCGCGAUGAGGAACUGCACUUCUCCGUCGAACUGUCGCGACGUUAUGAACAGGGGAAUCAGCACGUCGGUGAAGUCAUGGUAGUAGUUCCCGGAGUAGCCGCCGAUGGCGAAGACGAUGGCGGCGACGCUGUGAUUGACGGUGCAGCGAGGGACGUCGCCGAUGCUAGUCGACGAUCUCACUGAAACCUCGCCGAUGUGCUCCAUCGCAGCCUUGUCAAACUUGCGUGCGUAAGGCUUGAUCCGCCACGAUGGCUGCACGCCGGGAUCCUGGGAUUGGUGAUCGGUCACCAGAACUACAGAGGAAGAUUUCCCAUGAACUCGAACGUCGCCGUCCAUUUCGCAGACGUCGGUUCUAUAAUUCGAGAGAUCGCAGACUGGCUUCUCUCGGGCUUUCAUACCCUUCAUCGUUCCAUCUACAGCAAACACGCCGGUGCUCCGAACAAAAAGCUUACAGAAACGGACUCAUGGACACAGAACUCUGUGGAUUUAGCGAACAUGAAUGAGUUGAUGAUUACCUGGCGGUUUAGAUUCAAUUAUUUCUACUUUUGGACUUGACAACUUUGUGGUGGAUGAACUGUGGCGUUGGACCCUCUCGUCGGCAUCUUUUCCUCGAUCUCUCUCCGCCCCUUUUCCAUGCUCUGCAGAGCAGAAGGAAAAGAAAGUCAGAUCACGUUAGUUUCAAGUCCUGAACACGGCCGGCGUUUUUUCGUGACUUCUCACGGGUGGCAAAAUAGGAGACUCACCCAACCGCAGAGUGUUCUGCUGAAUCAGUCCCGUAGAAGCAGCAUUGUUUAACAUGGGUGAUGGUGAGUUCUGCUUGCUUCUGACGACCACGCUACUGUUUGGGCUAAUUCCUGCGUCUUCUCAGCGAUGACUCGGAGACAUUAGCAACGGAAGCGCAGUGAUGAAGCAAGACAGCCUACCAUUACAACGUAGCGAGACCUUCUCUUUACCUGAUAUCUGUGGAUCACGACUAAUUUCUUCUGCAGGAUGAACCCAAACUCCGUAGAACAGGGAUAACUGCUGUUCGACUGCAAAACAAUCAGAAGAAGAUUUGAGAAGGAAAAGACCUCAAACAAUUUGCCGACACAUGAUGACAUUCGACGUACACAGAGAUGAAGGAAAGGCAAGAGUGAGGACUCACUUGUGGAUACUGACAUGACGACGACACAGGUCAAUACUCCGACGCAGAAUCCUAGAAGCAAAGGCAACCCGAGCUUCCUCGCCUCCAUCUGCCCCAGUUUCUUCGCCAAGAUCUUAUGAUACCCCAUCUUCCGUAUCGCCUGCGGCGGACGUUCUACCUGGAAAUCACCCUGCUGCUCAUGGAUCGAAGUAUGAUGAACUAACGAUUGAGCUCGCUCGCUCGCUCUCUCUCUCUCUUUAUCGCUUCAAGGAAGACUUGAAAUGCUAUUGGACAGAGGAACUGAUAAGAGAUGAUUGGACACGGAACGACUUUUACCUCGUGACAACUAUUCUGAUCUCGUUCUCAAACGAUCAGAUUGGAGAUGUAGUCAUUCAUGGGGACAACCAGAAAAGGACAGGCUAUAGUACUCCUGUAGGAUGAAUUGGCCUCCAGCUCGAAGUUUCUCCUCCUCACUGAAGAGCAUGGGCGUGCAGAUCUGCUGGAUCUGAGCAUAUUUAUUAGAUGACUCGUGUUUGUGUGAUUUCUGGCGGUGACUUGCAGUAAUCGAGGGUUAUAAUCUCCGGCAAGUCACCAAGUAAAAACAACGUAGCAGCAGGAUGUUCCGACUCCCCCACUCACUGCUUCCGUUCUUGGGGAAUGUGAACUGCUGGCACCAUGAUGUCGACUUGGAUUAUCUCUGGAUGCCGUAAUGGAGUUCAAUGCAGUGAUCACACUUUCAUCCCCACCAAUUGUGUGAGCGAACACAUUUGACUUCCAGAAAAGCAGAUUCGUUAAAACGUGAGUAGUGCGCUUGUUUUGUUCUCAUAAAGAGAGGCAGUACCUCGUGCGAAGACAGGAACAAAGAGUAGGGUCAAUCUUCUGCUCGAAAUGGGCGAAGAAGGGAAUGAUCGAGUGGAUUACCAACAAAAUGUUAAACCGAGUUUUGCAGCUCAAUCUUUGACGGAAACCAUGAGUAACUUUUCUAAGCUUCAAUGCAUGGGAAACGCACCCCUCGCUCCUGUCAUGAUCGAGCGCCCCACAGGCCACUGUACGUCAUUCUGCCGUGCCUGGAAUCAUCAUAAGUAGGCUUCGUUGGGACGUCGUUUUCCCUAAUCUUUUACUGCUCAGAUCUAAUCCAUUACCUUGAAACUUCGAAGCAUAAAAGACAAAAAACAAAAGAUUUACCAUGGAAGAAGGGUCUGUCUCGGGAAUCCUCCACCCUUCUUCUUGGUUUGUGUCCGUGCUUUGCCUGAACAAACAGCAAUGAAGAACACGUUUCGGAGGACCAAAGGCAACCGCACGACUUGAUUCAGUGGCAAGAGACGAGUCCUCCAGCUUGCUCUUACAGGUCACACAUGGGCUGCCCCCGCCAAGAAAACGGAAGCUUCACCAAUAACAUAUGCUACAUGUCUAAAUCAGAAAUAAAAGAGCUCACAUGUUGAGGUCGUCCACCAGUCCUGGAAGAAGAAUUUAUUGGCAUGCCUCCACGGAACAAAACAAGAGUAUACUCGAGGCACUCAUGGCAGAUGGGAAAAGCAGGUAACGGUGGUCACGACACAGAUGAUGCAUGCAUCCUUGGAGGAGGAGUUGGAGGAGGAGGAGGAGAGAGCUCUCUACUGAGCUAACCAAGAAGAACCACUGACGCCCAGCCUGUGCAGUCGAGCUGAGUGAAGCUGCCGCCAACUUUACGGUCCGGUCUUGGCACUGUGCUGAGCGGGUCCAAGCCUAGGUUCAUGGGCCCGAACCAAAUCAUUCCCGGUUCAGCUAUCCCUGUGCUUGCGCAGCCGGGUCAAACAGGCCAGACCGGUGGUAAGGUGAAUCCUUGCUGGCGGAGAUAGGUCAGAUGUGUCGUCGUCACCGUCGGUGGGGUGAGAUAUUAACCACUCUCCCAACUGUUUCGGUGAGAUAUAUUUAUUAGCCAAUGGUGUCGUCGUCACCACCAUUGGAGUUUAAUGUGAUUCCUCUCUAUCGGUUGUUGAAAGAGUUAAAUCAUCUCAAAACAUCACAAAUUCUAUUUGUCAAUCAUGAUGCAUAUGUGAUGUUACACAUAUAAAUAUAAUCUAUUAGACAAUUUAGAUUAUAUAUUUUUAACGCUCUUUAAUGCAUUACUUGUUGUUCUUAAUAAUCUACAUAUUACCAUGUUUUGUAUCAUCCGUUUUGAUAUUUCUUUUUUUUAUUAUUGUUGAAAGUUGUUCUAAAUUUUUUUUUAGGAACACACGAUUUUAUAUAUGUAUAUAUACUCACAAUAAGUAACAAAAAAUAGAUGUAUUAUUUAAAAAAUGAAUAACUUAAAGUGGAUGUUCAUAUCGAUUCUUACAGAACCUAUGAAACCAUAUAAUCAACUCAUGGAGAAGUAGUAGCAGAUGUGUUGAAUUUGAAACAUGAUUUGUAGGUACCUUCUGGGAAAUAAUUAUAGCAGUGAUAACAAUCCAGUUUCUCUAAUUACUAGAUUAUUAUCACUGCUCUAAUUAUUUUCUGGUUGCUUCCAGUUGGGCAUUUUAAGUUCCAAGAAUGCUGCAAACUCAACACAUUGCCUACUAUUUCUUCCUGUGUUCAACACCUAUGGGAUCAUAGGUUUUGCCAAAAAUGGAUAUUCAAAUAAUACAAUGUGAAUUAUGGAUAGUUUUUAAUAAAUACAAAAAUAUUACAAGAAGUAAGCAUAUAAAUCUUACAUGGGAAAUUUGUCAAGGAAACUAAAGUAGUUUGCAUUUCAAUCAUGACAUCCACACAGAUUAAUUUGUUUCAUGCACCUUCAGAUUCUGCAAGGGUGAAAAAAAAAUCAUUAUUUAUGCUCAUAAAUAAAUAUCCAUCAACAUAAACAUGAGUUUUUUUCCUUUUACACCAUGGCAUACAACAUAAGUAUGUCAAACAUGUCAAUUGGAAUCUCCUUUUACAUCAUGGCAUCCAUUUCAGUACUUGUGGUGCAACCACUUCUCCCUUCGUUCAUGGCAAUUGUGAAGUGAGUGGCUUUGGAUAGAGUGAUCCAACUAUGGUCAAUAUUUUCAAGCAUUUUGAGAGCAAAUAUACUAUUACCACAUUAUGUACAGAGCAGCAGGCUGCAUACCCACGCCGGCAGAAGCAUCAAUUUUGGUUCAUCUCCGCUUUUCCUUCGCUCAUCUUCCAUUAUUUCACCUUUUUUUGUGUCACCAAGCGAGACGGUGGAAUUAUUCUUCGCCCUUUUAGUCUUCACCUCUAUGCAAGUCAGUGCACUUGAAUGCGAUGUGGUUGAGAUUGCACCAGCUGCCAGGAACUAAGCUCGUGCGUUCCUUCAGCUCGAUCAGAUACUUCCCGAGUUCCCUGCAUCGACUUUUUUCCCAAAAUAAUCAGAGAAGAACAGACAUUGUCUUGCAUUUCUUGAGCCACUGAGGAAAACAUACCUGUUGGCGCUGGCACUGAUGAAAUGUCCUAAUUGUUCUGAUCAAAACAAAGACCGGUACAAGUAUUCCAGCAGUCCUCAACACCAGUAGCUUUAUUUCCAUAUAUGUAUACAUAAACAAGUACAUCACGCAGAGCUUCAGAAGCUAACAACUAGGCAGCUACAUUGAAAGAACAUUAUCGUAAACUUCUUAGUUUAGAGUUUUACUGAGAAUAUGGUGAAUGAGUACUGCUCAGCACCACUGAUGGCGAGAGGAAGAGUGUGGCGAAGAACCAAAAGAACCAUGAACUGGAUAGAAACAAAAGUGUGUAACACAUUCUAUCAAAUUACAUGAAGCAUGAGAAGACAAAAUUGUGACUCAGAAGUUCCUCUACAGAAGUGCUUCUUGAAUAGAAAGGAACUCACUAUUAUGGCUACUGACUGGCAGCAAACUGUGGUUCUCAUGCCUAAAGCUGAAUAAUCAUCAUCAUGAGGAUGCAUAACAUCACGUUCUGAUGGAUACAACGUUAAGAUUUGAGAAUCAUUCAGGUCCUGUCUGGUAAUCUCCCAAUUUCCUCUGAGAAGCAUUUUAACACUAUCAGCAAUUCAAAUUGAAAAUGUUGAAACUCUAAAUUGCCCAAUAUCCCUAGAAACAGUACCCAAACACAGAAUGUACUUAGGAAGGGAGGCUCAGUGUAUGAAGCUCUCAUCAAUGCAAAUUAGGAAAGGAAUAUGCAACAUUCUCCCUAUAGAAAGGAAGGCUAUUCCUCAACUUGAAGUCUAAUCAACGAGGAAGCAAAGAAACGGUGACACAGAGGGUACAGUGAAAAGGAUACCUGAAGUUCAUCGGGAUACUCCCAUACUGAAACAACUUUUGGGGAGCAGUAUAACCUGGCUUGAAUUGCUGAAUAUGAGUGAUAAGAAUUAGAAUCUACAGAGGCAAUAUUAAAAGAAAAGAAACUAUCACAAUGCAGAUGCUACAUCAAAAUACAUUUGUAGAUGAAACAAUCAGCAUGUGAUCUGGCAAACAUGACCACUUAAUGAGUGAGCCUCAAUUGCGUGUUGGACAAGCUUUCACCAUGGUGGUUAUGGGAUGUUGAGGUCAAGAGAAUUAUCGGGCCAGAAAAAGAAUCACCUGCAAGCAAAUCUCGCAAACUGUGUCACCCUUUUCGUUACACCAUCUUUGAACACAUUCACGGUGAGCAUACUGAAAGUAAAGGAAAAGAUCCAGUUAACUGUUAUUAUUUAUGUAAAUUAUGUUACAGAAUCCAGCACAAAGUAUGAGAAGAAAAUAUACGGCAAGAAGUAAAUAAGUAAGUGAACUGAUUACUUCUGGAGCACAAAGACUAACGUACUUGUACCGCACAAUUUACUAGUAAAGUUGAACUGAGAUCAUAGACAAAAAUUAGGAGACAAGGCUUAAACUGCAUAAUACAGAAAAUUAGCACUAAGAUAGGACAAGACCAUUUCCUCAAAAAAAAAAAAAGAAAGGGACACACCAUCUUCCAUCGUUAGUGCAAUUUCCAUCACUAGGUUAAGAGAUACCAGAUAUAUCCAAACUUCAAAUAUUAGAAGUCUUAAAGACUGAAGCAACACUGGAUGAAAUGAAAAGGUCAAAACACAAUGGAGGACAUAUCUGAGGGAGGUGGAGAAAAGCAUUGUGCAAUCAUCUCUGCCAAACAGAUACAGAACUAAAAUUAUGCACCGUCAAUGAUGGAUACUGACCAUUCUACGGAUUCCUAAUUAAUUGCAAUUUCGUUAACUUACAAAAUGUAUUCCAUAAGGUUACGCCUGAAUUGGAUUAGCAAAGGAUGUUGUAAUGAUUUAAGUAUGAACUGAUUCUGGUUGGUUCUCAGAUUCUUCACCUUGCAAUUGAACAUUUUCAUAGCUUUAUAGUGAAUCAACUCAAAGCAAAUCUGUGUAUAUUUUGAUGACAUAAUAGGAUAAUCUAGAAAGUGCCCAAAAAUCUCUCUCGCCGGCUAACAGUUUGAAGUUUUGCAAUGGUUCCUCCAAUCACUAAAUACUUCGUAGUUAAUCAGUAAGACCAAACUAAACGAAUCACCUCACUACUAACAUGUCAGAGAUGCUGGCAUAGAAUACACACAAAUCAAAUCUUUAGGCCAUUAAAGUACUAGUUUCUUUCAUACGUCUAAUGAAUCAUAGUUAUGAGCUACAGUUAGUUUGUAGGCUAGAACUGAUCGACCAGUUUACUUAACUGCUUGACUCAAGGUACACAAGUUUCCUUCUUUAUAUAAGGAUGGCAAAAUCAUAGGAAUUUAGGUCAGAAACCAAGUUACUGAUUUAAGAUGUAAACACCAAGUUAAUGGAAACAGAUAAAUGCACAAUUUUCAUGUCCCCGCACAAGUAAAAUCCCCAAAAACAAGGCAUCAUCAUCAACAAAAAUAAAACCCAAAGUGAUAAACAAUAUAAAGGAAAUUGGAAAGGAAAAAAAAGAAAAAGAGAGAGAAAGAGAGAGAGCUUCCUUUACCUUCAAGCUGCCACAACAUGAACAAGGGAUCUCCAUGUUGUAAUCUUCUUCCUCUUCUUGACAAAUUCGGCAUUCAACUAACUUUCCAACACAGCUCCUGUCUCUGAUGUUUCUCUUCCUAGUAAACUCUUUGCCUGGAUCUUCCAAAGGCGCUGAAUCGGUGGCAAUCUGGUCGUGCUUCUGACCUCCAAUAGCCGCCUCGAGCGUUGACUCAGUAAGGAGAUGGUCCACUAAUAAAGCAAGAUGGUCUCCCAUUCUUCUGGAACUUCAAGAAAAGACGAAAUUAAAUUAAGAAGCCAACUUGAUGUGUCUUCAGAACCCAAGGAAAGAUCAUGAGAAUUAUGAAAAGAAUUGGGCGCAACCAACCAGCCCCAUAAUGACGAAAUAAGAUACCUUUACAAUGUAAAACAGCUUUCUAUUAGUAUCGUUAAAAUAAGAUCAAGAACACUAUGAACAUCUACAAAUACUCAGAAAAAGAGACCAAGCCAAACAGAUUGCAGUAGAGAAGCACAACAAAGAUGUCUUCCUUAUCGAACCACACAGAGAGAAAUUGAGAAGGAAAAUACCAAUCAAAAUCCAGUCGACCAUGAGCAGGGCAGCAACCAAAACGUCGCCAAAAUUUCAAAUUUUUCGAAAAAGGAGGGAGCUUUCACCGUAACAAAGCACCAAAUGACCACAACAACGAAAAAGAAGAGAGAAGAAGGGUAACAUAUCCAUAAAUCUGAAGAAGGCAUGAGAAGAGGAGGGAUGAAUCAAACUGAAGGAAAUCCGAUAAAGGAAGCACGACCCACCAGAGACAGAGGAAUCCAAAAACCAAGAAGAAAAGGAUUAGACCAACGAGACAGGCGGCAGCUUUCUUACGGACUCCGAAACCUCCUCUCUCCUUUCCCAAUCUGAAGAGACAAAGAACGCGAGUAAAACCCAAAGGCAUGGCGAGCAGAAAACCGAGGAGUGGAAGGAGGAGAGGAGGAGGAGGAGACUUACAAGGUUGGACUUGGAUGUGUUGAAGCGAAGGAAGGGACGAGGAGCAGAUCAGGGGAGCUGAGGACGAAGCAAGAGAGAGAGGUAGUGGUGUGGUGUGGUGUUUCUUACCAGAGAACCCAUAGCAAGAGAAGCGAGUCCUGCAACUUAAAUACACCUGAGAAUCCAUUUCCCAUUCUACCCCUCUCCUGUAUUUUUUGUGGACAUCCAUAUCCAUCCUUUUGCAUUUCUUUCUCAUCCAUCUCUCUAAUUAUUUUUCUUUACAAAAUUUCACAUUUGCCUUACAAAGUUGUGAGUAUAUAUGUAUGUAUGCAUGGAUUUAUACUUAUGCUUACAUUAGUGUUUUUUCUGUUGUUCGUAAUUAAUACUCAAAUAAUUAUGCAUUAGACACGUCAUUCUCAUUCGAACGAAAUAUCAUUCUCAUUCGAUAAAUACCCUAAUCUCAUUCAACAUGUGGGUUUCAAAGUUAAUGAAAUAACACUAACUUGAUUCUAUUAUAUUAAUCAUAUAGUACUUGUAUUUUUAGGAUGAUUUUUUUUUCAUGACCUAUUGAUAAUUAAAUAAUGUGUAUAACUGUUCCUCACAUUUAUUAUGAUCUCAAUCAAACGAUCUAUCGUACUAUAAAUAAUUAUCUUAAGUAUAAUCUUAAUAAUAAAUCUUUUCUAACUAAAUAUAUCUAAUUGAAUCAUUCGAAGUCCAUAUUAAUUCAAACAGAAUCAAAUUCCAUGAUUUUUAAAAUUUAUAAAUUAUUAUUAUUAUUAUUAAUUUUUUCAUAUAUAUAUAUAUAUAUAUAUUCAAAAAUUCAUCAAUUUUUUAUCCCUCGGUGCAUUAACUAUAUAACAUUCACAUGAUACAUGGGAUGGCAGUCGUAAUUUACAUCACUUCUACUCUCCUUUUACCUUUCAUUUUCGAUGACUCGCCCUCUUUAUCGCCAUUAUUUUUCCUUUCCCAUAUCAAUUUCUUCUCCCCCCAAAUAUUUCUCUCUCUCUCUCUCUCUCUCUCUCUCUCUCUCUCUCUNNNNNNNNNNNNNNNNNNNNNNNNNNNNNNNNNNNNNNNNNNNNNNNNNNNNNNNNNNNNNNNNNNNNNNNNNNNNNNNNNNNNNNNNNNNNNNNNNNNNNNNNNNNNNNNNNNNNNNNNNNNNNNNNNNNNNNNNNNNNNNNNNNNNNNNNNNNNNNNNNNNNNNNNNNNNNNNNNNNNNNNNNNNNNNNNNNNNNNNNNNNNNNNNNNNNNNNNNNNNNNNNNNNNNNNNNNNNNNNNNNNNNNNNNNNNNNNNNNNNNNNNNNNNNNNNNNNNNNNNNNNNNNNNNNNNNNNNNNNNNNNNNNNNNNNNNNNNNNNNNNNNNNNNNNNNNNNNNNNNNNNNNNNNNNNNNNNNNNNNNNNNNNNNNNNNNNNNNNNNNNNNNNNNNNNNNNNNNNNNNNNNNNNNNNNNNNNNNNNNNNNNNNNNNNNNNNNNNNNNNNNNNNNNNNNNNNNNNNNNNNNNNNNNNNNNNNNNNNNNNNNNNNNNNNNNNNNNNNNNNNNNNNNNNNNNNNNNNNNNNNNNNNNNNNNNNNNNNNNNNNNNNNNNNNNNNNNNNNNNNNNNNNNNNNNNNNNNNNNNNNNNNNNNNNNNNNNNNNNNNNNNNNNNNNNNNNNNNNNNNNNNNNNNNNNNNNNNNNNNNNNNNNNNNNNNNNNNNNNNNNNNNNNNNNNNNNNNNNNNNNNNNNNNNNNNNNNNNNNNNNNNNNNNNNNNNNNNNNNNNNNNNNNNNNNNNNNNNNNNNNNNNNNNNNNNNNNNNNNNNNNNNNNNNNNNNNNNNNNNNNNNNNNNNNNNNNNNNNNNNNNNNNNNNNNNNNNNNNNNNNNNNNNNNNNNNNNNNNNNNNNNNNNNNNNNNNNNNNNNNNNNNNNNNNNNNNNNNNNNNNNNNNNNNNNNNNNNNNNNNNNNNNNNNNNNNNNNNNNNNNNNNNNNNNNNNNNNNNNNNNNNNNNNNNNNNNNNNNNNNNNNNNNNNNNNNNNNNNNNNNNNNNNNNNNNNNNNNNNNNNNNNNNNNNNNNNNNNNNNNNNNNNNNNNNNNNNNNNNNGAGAGAGAGAGAGAGAGAGAGAGAGAGAGAGAGAGAGAGAGAGAAAGCCUUGGAAUGAUGGUUGCGAAUCAGUGGUCUUCGGUUUCAGAGGGAUUAGGUGGAAGAGAAAAUGAAUCACUGGUAGUUCAUCUACCCGGACCACUCGAUGAGCUCCUUCAACUGGGUGUGGGUCAGCGUGUGCCGGUGGGAGAACGACGGAGUCGAGAUUUGGAUCCACACCCAACCCAUCAUGUCAAGAUUGUCAACUUAGCUUCCCAAGGAAUUGACCGCAAUAUGAAUUAAGUUGCCGAACACAAUGAUUCCAUCAGCGUCAUCAACUGUUUUCGACCCGAUUCCCAUCUUUCUUAGACCUCAAGGAUGAAAUCUCUCACGAUAUGAUGGAAAUGGAGAUCCACGCCAUUGGGAAACUGCUUUCGAUCUCCAUCUCACGACACCGUAAGCGGGAAGCAAAGGUUCGAUAGCAAGCAGAAUUCGAGUGCGUUCUGAGUUCCACAUGCGUCUGCUAACUUGGGGUGUCAUCUUAUAUCAGGUUCUGCACCAAAGAAAUCUUCCAAGAGAUCGGCUGUCGGACAUAUUUGGUCGACGUCUCUGGGAUUUUUGGUGGCACUUGAAUACACCUGAAAACAAACGCAAGCAAAAGAGUUUGCAUGGUUUUUAAGUAAAAUUAUAAACACAAAAAAGUUAUAAUUGCAUUAUUAUACGAAAAAUUUUAAUACUAGAAACUAAAAUCAAAUAAUGAUAAACCAAUGCGCCUGCCUGCAUGGAGUAGAAUUUUCAUGAAGAAAUCCAAUGGCUGCCAUUUUAACAUCUCAUAUGUUGUAAACAACAGAGAAUUCUGAUUUGCAAACUUACAUAGAACAGGUACCAUGCUCGCCACACAGAAUCAAGAGCAUAGAAUAGCACAUGCUGGCCACCAAAUCCUAGUUUUAAGUUGAAAGAUAAAAAAAGGACUUUAAUUCUCAAAACAGGGCUGGUCAACUAUCUUAUUUUAAUUUUCGAUCAAGGUAAUAGAUAAGAAUUCAACGUAAAACACAUCUAAGGGACAUUCUAAAAGUAGAAUCUUGUACGUACCGCCGAUGCAUUAGCAUAUCACACUUCCUCAGAUAAGGAACUGCGGAGCAUACUGGUUGUUCAAGUAAGAUGGCGGCACGGCAUCUAAAUUUGCAACGGAAGAUAUUUCCAUGCUGGCUGCAUUCACAAGAUGGAAGAUUAUUUCUUUGCUUCGACACGGUGUGUGAUUCGUCAUCCGCUCAUCGACACAUGAAAGAACAUUGCCAAGAAUUGUCUCCUCAGGAAAAUAGUGUAGUUAUUCAUCCAUUAUAAGGCAUUUGUGGUCGUCCUUCAAAUACCAAAGAAAAUGACCAAAAUUUGAGGGCUGAGUUUAAGAAAAAGUUACAGAUAGAUAUAUUGGACAAAAGAAAAAGGGUACAAAAUGGAUUCUUACCUGUUAAGCACCGUAUGAAUUCAACAAAGAACGAAGGUAAAUGCCAUGAGCAGCGGACCACUCGUGAACCUGAAAGAUUGAUUAUACACGAAAAGGUUCUACAUUGUUCCAUUCAGAAGAAAUAUACACUAUAGUUCACGAUUCAUUUCUAUUGAGGAUCUACACUUACAUGCAAGUCAGCAUGUAUGUACCCAAAUAUUGAAAUCAGCAGAAAAGUGGGUGAUGCCAAAGACAAGUCAAGAAUAAAAUGGAAAUUAUGAAGAUUAAGAUAGAACAAGAAGCAGAGAUGCAAUUAACAGUAUUUAUCAUUCUUUACUGGAACUUGAAAACCAUAAAAAGGCAUGAACCAGCUAAAACUAAGAAUUGCCCAUGAAAAAGGAUAAAGCUUUUUUUUUCUUUCCAACUGAACAACUUGAAGGAUGAUACAACUCAAGGAAAAUGAAGGUGAAGUGCCUGUAGAUAUAGAUAAUGAAGCUCAGCCCAGAAUUAGCUCAAAUAGGAAAUAUAUGAUAUAUAUUAGAUAUAGACAAUCAGCAUAUACAAGAAGCAAAGAAGAUAAAAACAAGAAUGUUGGAUGAGUGAAUCUUUUAACUCUCCAUCAAACUGAACAAUAUAAUUAAUAAAGCAAAAGUUAGGUAAUAUAUGUUUGGAAUAAGCCAAGGAUGGCUAUACACAGGUUCAGCUAGUUGACCUAAAGGAACAAAAAUGCGGAAGAGCCCUCCAGCAUGUUUUAAAAGUUGUUUCCGGGAUCGGAAUCAGCAUAGAAAUAACUAGGCACCUUCAAAUCUUUGGCAAAAGUAAUAAUAACAAAAAAAAAAGCCAGAUUUUUAUUGAAGAAAUUUGAGCUAAAGAUAAAAAUCUUAACAAUAUAAUACAUGCUAUGGGCAAAGCUAGCAUCUACAAAGACAAUGAAACAUGAUAAAAAGAGGUUGCCAAUCUCAACAACGGGAUUAGGGCCUCAAUUAUACCAGGUCAUUUGACGCAAAAGUUUGUUUACUUACAAAUUAAAUGCACAUUACUGGUUAAGUGGCACUAGAAGCGAAAAGACUAGUUCCAACUUUAAAUGUGACCAGAACAAUGGUUUAGACUUCAAACGGCCUAUAGAACAUCUAACAUAAUAUCAAUGCCAUGGACAACCAAGAAAACAUGAUUGUGUCAAAGAAUUAGCAAAGCACAUCAUGUUUAACAUUUUGAAUCUUUGAUUUGUCUGUUUAACUAGUGUAAAAAAUAGCAGUCAAGUAAUGUAAUCCUUCCAUGCAAAGAAAUACCAUGCAUCCACUCUAAGGAUCAUGGUAGAUGCUUGUUAGUGGGCCAUUUAGCAUAUACCUUAACAUUAGAUAUGCCACAUAUGAUGAAAAAUGAGAAGUUUCUUGUGAAGGUCAAAGUUUAAUCCGAGUGCGUUGCCAAGCAUUUGGGAAGACCAACAGUAACACAUGACAAACAUGCUGAUUGCAGGAAGAGUCUUCAUCUUUUAUGUUUGCUCACCACCUACAGAAGAGAUCUAUACCCAAAGCCAGCCCAAGGAAAAACUGACCACGAUAGAAAUAAGAGAAAACCAGCAGCUCUUGUUAAACCAACAUGCUACAAGGAAUCUCUGAGGAGGUAUUUAAUGGUUAAGGUGCAAUGUCCACAGUCAAAAGAUUUAAGAGGCCCAUACGUAUGCAUGUCAUGUACUCCUUGAAUGGAAGGAGUAAAAUUUGGAAGAGAAAAACAGACCACAAAAGGACAAGUUAUAACAUAGUAAAGAAAUAUCUAUCCAUACACAUAAAUAUAUGCACAUUUGGUCCAUGUAUCAUGUUCAACAAAAUUAAUCUUUCCACUGGAGCCAUCCAUGAUUAGUUUUGAGAUUAUAGGAUUGAGGUGUCAAUCUUCCUGAUAAGCUUUUUAUCUCAUUGCAAAAGGAAACCUAAAGCUCUCAAAUAUGGAUUUCAUUGUCCUGUGCUUUUAUUUCAAGUACCAUGAUAAAAUUACAAGCUUUAUUAGGCUGAGUUGUGUUAUUACAUUAAUCCGACCAAGCCUAUGAUGUGGCGAUUAUGCUUAUUUGCCCCAAAGAACAGUUUGAGCAUAGUAAAACGUUUGGGGGCAAGAAAGGCAUUAUCUUGCCCAACUUUCUCCACAUCUUUUGAUCUCAGGAACGAAGUUGAUGAAAGAGAAAGAAAAAGAAGGAUCAAAAUGGGUAUGGAAUGCAAGCUUGUGUGGCUUUGUAUGUCAGGGACGAGGCCAAGGGACGAUCCUGUACAGGCUAUGCCUACUACACUAAACAGUGCAGAGGUCAGGUCAGAUCAGGUCGCAGUUGGUUAGCUCCUCUGCUCAACUGUAUAUUUAAUCUUCCACAAGCCAUAUCUACUCACAACACUCUCUCCCUGAAUAAUGGCCUCCUAAGACAGUUAAAAAAGAAGAUACUAUUGUAGUCUAUCGAGGUAAGAAAUAAGUAAAAAGGCAAAAAGAAAAAGAAAAGGGAGAGUAGGUGAAUAUGUGUAUGUAUCAUAGUGCAAGUAGGACAAAAGGAUAAAAGAAAAAAAGUAGGACAAAAGGAGUCUCCUGUGGGAGGUUCCUUCCUGAAAUAUAUAGAGGGAAAGAAGGAGAACGGUGAAGCAGCUUCCCAUGCUGCAGGGUAGUCUUGCAUGCAAAGGCUUCCCAGGGCUGUCUUAGUAGAGGCUUAGCUUCUUAGAGAAAACUUUGGUUCCUGAUUCAUUUUUGAUCUCUCAGACAGCAGGAGGAAUCAGCAGUGGAAAUGGGUAAGGGUGAAGACUUCGAGCUCCUAAAAAUCCAGGUAUUUCUCUUCCUUUCUUUUCUUUGUAUUUAGUUAGAAGAUUAAGUGCAGGAGACUGUUUGUUUGGUUCUUGCAGACCCACAUCCUGAAGGUGAACAUACAUUGUGAUGGAUGCAAGCUUAAAGUAAAGAAACUCCUCCAUAGAACUGAAGGUACUUAAUUCCAGGAUCUUUAGCUCUGUCUUAUUUUCCCUCUCCAGAACAUAUUUUCAUCAUGUUCUGUUUUCUGAAGAUAAUGCUGUUUCGAAAAGACUUUUAUAACUCUGCCACAGUUAUCCAUCUUUGCUAAAAGUUUUGCUUGAGAUGAUCUUUUACUGGAAUGCCAAGUUCCACUUGUUUCAUGCAAGUUCUUCUGCUACUUGAUUAUAGUACCCUUAAAUGCGAAUAUUUGGGGGUUGAUUUCCACAACUCCAGUCCAAGAAUCAGAUGCAGGAUAAAAGGAAAAAAAGAUGCUCAUGAAGUCUCUCUGAUGGAAGGCUUUAGUUUGUGUUUCUGCUACAUCUCUGGUCUACAUGCAGAGUUUUCAAGGUUACAGUAUGAAACUAGAAGCACAAUGCAUGUUCUCUUUUGUUCCUUGUGGAUGUCCAUGAUUUAUCUUGUGGCCACAAGCACAUUGUAAGAAAGACAGCAGAUACAAAGUGUGGCUAGAAACUUGAUGUCUAUUGAGUAAUAAUGUUCAUCAUUUAACUGUGUUUGCAUCUGAUUCAGGAGUCUUCUCAGUAAGCAUAGAUGUAGAACAGCAGAAGGUCACAGUUUCAGGAAAUGUGGACUCUGAAACUCUGAUCAGGAAGCUGAUCAAAGCACGUAAGCAUGCAGAGCUAUGGACUCAAAAGAUCAACCAGACUCAGCAGCUCAACCAGCAAAAGCAGCAGCAGAAGAAAGUAGCCAACCCCAUGAAGGAUGCCAACAAAAACAAUAAAGAACAAGACAAACAAGGCCUCAUGCGAGGCCUCAAAGCCUUCAAAAACCAGCACAACAAGCUUUCCCCAUCCAGCUCUGAUGAGGAAGACUUUGAUGAUGAUGAUGACGAUGACGAUGAGGAUGUAGAUUAUGACGAAGAAGAAGAUGAUGCUGAUAUGCAAAAUCUUGAUAGUAAGAUGAAGCAAACUAAUUUCAUGAGGCAGGCAAACAACGCCCCAACCGACGCAAAGCAAAGUGGGAAUGGCAAUGGAAAAGUUGGUGCAAAUGCCAAAAUUGGAUGCAACAGGAAGGGGGGAGAAAAUGCUAACGAAAACCACAUCAAAAGUCCAAAUGAGUCACAACAAAAAGGCACCAAUGCUGCAGCUAACAACAGGGUGGUCAAUGGCAAUCCUAAAGUUCAGGGCAACAAUGGGGUGAUGGGUCUUGGCCCCCCUGGGCUUGGUGGAACCAAUGGAUGCUUGCCAGGAAAUGCUUUCAAAGGCUACACAGGACACCCACCACAAUGUGGGGGUCAAUACCAGUCUCCAGUGACGGUGAACAUGCAGGGCUACCAGACCCAUCCAUCAUCAUCCAUGGUGAACAAUUUGAGAGGGCACAACAUGGUGGUGCAUGAAAGCAGAUACAUGCAGCCUCAGAUGAUGCAGCUCAGGACCCCUCAGAUCUCCCCCUACGCUGGUUACUACAACUGCUACCCAAGCCCUUACUAUCUCAGUAACCAAGUUGAUAAUGGUUAUUAUGGUACCCAUCUUUUCAGUGAUGAAAACACUAAUGCUUGUAUUAUCAUGUAAAAAGAAGGUAUGUAGGAUAUGGGAUCAAGUGUUGCUGUUAUGGUUUUCUGUAAGUGGUGACUCAGUGGUGCUCCAAACUGUCAGCAUUCUUGGUGUUACCUUUGGCUGGACAUUUUACUGCCCCCUUGUUCAUGUGCUUUCCACUCUCUUUGAUGCUACUGACUGUUGCCUAAAAAGUUGUAAUUACCAAGAGAACAAGAUAAGAAAAUCUUGGUUUGGUAGACUUAGCCAUUCUUCUACCCUAAGGAAUAUCAUGGCAAUAGAAGGAUUUACUACUCAGACAAAUGUGCACUACUCAAUACAACCUGAGAGCAUGAGAAAUGAGAGUAUCCACAAAUAAACUUAAGGUCCACUUCUCUCGAUUGGCGACAAUGAGUGUAGAGUAAGAAACGAUGAAGCCAUAAAGAAAUAACUUCAACGGCACUGAGAACAACCACAUAUGCAACCACAAAAUAUAUAAGACUAGUAUAAACUAUAAAGAUGAUGACUUACCGGCAUUGUUCAGUGUCACAGUCCUCGAUGGACGGAUAAAGAAAGUCCAGAGCUGCAAAUGCAUGAUAAAAAGAAGAUGCCGGUAUGAUCAGGUUUGGUUCCGCAGUUGAUAGAUUUGCUUUCCUUUUCUCCAACAGUCAAAACUUAGUCUCAAAGAUAGAGGUAGUCAGCAGCCUUUCACUGGGAGUCACCAGGGGAAUGAUGCAAAGAGUGGUUACCAAUACCCAUGUGAUACCCACACACCAGUCCUCCCAUCUUGGCUGGUAGAAGACAGAGAGACAGAAACAGAUGAAUAAUGGACAAAAGCUGAGACUAUAUUAGACAGUGUGCAGCAAAAUCAAUGUAAAUGCAACAAGUCUUUGGAUGUUGCUCGUCAGCUUUAGUAGCAUUAGGAGAUUUGUCACUUACUUUUAGUACAAGGACAUGAUGACAGGAAGGGUGAGGGUUUAUAAAAAGUCUAAAGAUACAGGGAUUGGCCGGGGGAUCAAGCAGCACAGCUUCUGCAUUUUUGGCAUGCAGUUUAGAAAACAGAGAGCUUUGUAAUCCUAUCAGCCAACAGAAUAGUUAGUGAGCAGGUCAAAUGUUCAAGAUCAGAGAGAUAUGGACACAUUUGUUGAACCUUGAUCAGAUAUUUUGGUUGGAUUAACUAUUGCAUAACUAAAUUUUAUCUGAAGCACUUGUGUUCCAGAAGGAAUUAGACUAACUAUAUCUUAUGGACCAAAAUAGAGAAAGUAGAAAUAAAGAUCACUAUCUAAUGACAGUCCAUAUUUGCAACAGAUUAAUGUGUUUCAACCAGAAAAUGGUACUGCAAACUCCAAUUGUGUGGCUCUUAUGGAAUUAACUUUAUUAACACAAGAGUUAAUCCAAAUCAAUGGCUGCACCAUGGCCAAGAAAUUUCCUUCUUCCUGAGCUGAAUUGCAGAUAGAUUUUGAAACUACCUAAUCCCAUAUCCAGUUGCUGCAAAUUUACCACAUACCCCUUCUGUAGUAGCUGAAGGGACAAUGCACCCAGCAUCCUCUCCUGUAUCAGUUUCCUAAAGCUAAAAGGUACCCAGUUCCUUCAAUCUCCAAUGAUAUGGACAUGUUUUAAUCACAGAUAGAGAAAGUUGCAUAGUUAUCAUUAGCAGCAAACUCGGAAUCACCUUAUGAUUGAUUCAUCUUCUUGUUCAAUCUACUAACUACCAUGAGAGCACCAUAGUUUGUACUUAUUGAAGAAACUACUCUAGGAUUUAGCAACACAAAUUUUUAGUAUAAAAGAGUUCCCCUGACAUUACAUUUUUUUCUGUAUUAAAUCAAGUUUUAGAAAUAAACAUUUGAAGGACCUGUGCAAAGUUAUCUGGAAUCAGCCAAACCAAAUAAUUAAUUGGUGAUAUUUCCCUCGACGCAGCUUAGUGACAGUAAAACAAAUCAUGUGGCCAGACCCAUAUAAUAGGUUCCAAUAAUUUUCUGUACUUCAAAUCCAACUGCGUCGCACAUUAAUUUGAUAGUUUCUCUGUCAAAGAGUUGUGUAAGAUAGAGAUGCAAAGCUCAUCACAAAGUGAACAUACUGCAAGCUCAGUGUGCAAAGCUCUCCAAGCUGCAUCCUGGAAUAAACUAAGGGAUCCUUUGCUGCUUUUGAAAGCUCCGAAAUGAUCUUAAACUUUGGGGUCUGCUAAAAAUCAAGUAGUUUGUCUACAUACGUAUUACUAUGUUCAUUUGGGUGUGCAUCAAUAGGAACAUCAUCACUCCCACUCUACAAAGUAGCCUUUUCAACACUUUGACAACAUACGCCUCACAAAUCAUUAUUGUUAUCAACAUCAGUAGCUUCUUAGUUUUCCUAUGCCCGCUUCCUUCCUUUGCCAAUGUCCAUCUCCAAAUGGCUAUCAUUAUUCUCAUUAUCUCCUUCAUUGUCCUCACUCGUCCAUAAACAUUCAGCUUCAUCUAUCUUCUUUAAAUUCUUCACCAACAAGUCAUUCACUACCAGGUUCUAACGUGCCCUUAGGAGAAUAGCAUCGUGAUACCGGAAGCCAAGAGAAUAAGACAUACUAAAACCAGGGACAGCAUACAAGUACAUCAAGCUUCAAGCAGUUGCCAAUUUCUUGUGGCUUGGUUUCCAAUAGACAAUGGAAACAGAGAAGACCAAGCAAGAAGAGAUUGAUCGUUCUUGAUCAUCAUUUUGUGGUUAUAUAGAAGUGUUAAACCUGUACUAAAAUCUCAACUUCUAAAUCCUAACCACUGUAGUACAAUUAACUUAUCCGAUGUUGCAAUCUCAGAUACCAAAUAACACACAAUUUGUGUCUUAUACGUUUCUUAUCUAAGAUAUAGCCUAAUCGCGAGAAAAAAAAAGAUACAGCCUAAUCCCAUCGUCCAUAACACGUCACAUAAGCCGAAAAGGCCGAUCUUUUCUCUGCAACGAUCCGACUUCUUUCCUACUGCUAUGGUUCUCCGAGUGGGGCAUAGAGGCUUAUCAUCAAACACAAAGUCGACGUAGUAGGUGAUGCCAUAAAGAUCUUCACUUCAAGGUUUUGACCCAUCAAAAGCAGGUCCUCGGAAGAGGAACUCCUCCUUUAUCACCGCAUGCAAAGGUCCAAUCUUUAUCUACUAGCGAAAGGAGAACCGACCUCACAGCGUGGAAUUCAAAUGUCCUCCAAGUUGUUCCUCCGUCAUGUCGCUCGGCCACCAAACGAAACCAGGACUCGAGCACGCAAGUAGAAGAAACAAGUCUCCAUGAGACGACGCUUUGAGUUUCGCGUAGAAUCAUGAUGGACCUCAUCGAGAUUCGCGCAGGCCCACGAUGCACACCCGCGCUGUCGCGACUCAGUGUCCCGUCCUUAACCCAUAAGCUUCUCUCCACCUACAAAAGCCUCAUCACCUACCUACAUGGAAGUGCUGUUCCUUAGCAUUACGUUCAUAAACUAUGUAUUUGAAAGGUGAGUAUCCUCCUACGAGGAAACAAGAUCACUAAUUAACGUUUCAUGCAUGUAAUGAGUGUUGGUUUGACAAACAGUGGGCUUGCAAAAAUCUUCCAUGGAGAGAAGCAUGCUUGUCAAAAUAGUUGGCUAGCCAGCUGCAAGAAGUGGAACUCCUGCAUCCGUUUGGCAGAAGAGAGUGUCAACUCUUUCUCAUGCCGGAUCGACUUGCCUAACAAAUCCAAAAAGAAGGAUGUGAAGAUUGUCGACCAUGUCCUUCCUCGAGGCUUUUUAUAUCUUACCAACCGAGCCUUCACAAAAACUUUGCAGCUGACCUUUCAUGAUCAUCCCAUGGAAGAAAACAUGAUACCACUAUGUGCUAACCACUCCGCAGCUAGCGUUGAACACGAACGAAUGCUUCUAAUGCUCAAAAGCUCAAAGCAGUCACAGGAUGAUGAGGAUGUUUCAACGAAGAGGAAUCUUUCUGAUAAUGAUGUGGGAUGUCAUCCAUCGACUGGUGCCGUUGUUUUGUAGCCCUUUGUUGGCUGAAGACAAUAACUUUGAUCGGUUCUCUUAGACCAUUCUCUCACGUAACGUGUAGAGAUAGUGCAUGUUGACGCGUUGGUUUUGUUGGGUGUGUAUAUAGAUGGAGCUUGUGCAUGCCCUCGGCCAUUCCAUCACGGCUUGUUGCUCUUCCCGGACUCCAAAGCUACGACAUCUCCCUCACAAUAGGCAAGGUUUCCUUUCUUCUUGUCAUCUCCCUUCUCGUUCCUCGUCUUGUCAGUUCUCAUAUGGAUGGAUAACCACCAGUGUUUCAUACAAUCUCACAGGCACAAGGGGAGAGAGAGAGAGAGAUGAGUUCUCAAUUGCAUGCAUGGCUACCAAUGUACACUUUCUCUUGAAAGAGAGAGCUGUCUAUAGACGAUUUCUACCGGGAUUUAGAAUGGAGUCGAUCUAGUAAAUGCUAUCUUAUUAAUAGUUACCAACCGUAUCUAAGCUUAUGGGAAGCAAGGCACCCUACUUUGAUCACUUCCCUACCAAACCCACCUUACCUACAUGCACCAUAUAGCUCAAACAGCCCAAUUUGUGUCAAAAGCAUUAUUCUUCUCUCUUUAAUCUACGUAUGCCGCAAUUGUUUCAUGCGUGGCAAGCAACUCAAGAUGACCUACCAUGUUCAAGAUCAAUCAUAGAGAGAGAGAGAUAUAUAUAUAUAUAUAGUUGCUUGUGCUUGCCACAUCCGACCCCAUAAUCAUGCUGCAUGUUAAGUAAGCUCUUUAUCGUGCUCUUAUGGUGGCAAUAGCUGUUGUUCGUCGCAGGAUAUAUACAGAAAAUCGAUGAUGGCAAAGUUGGUGCUCGCUGUUCUCGUCCUAAUCGUCGGCCUCGCUGCCGGAAACCGAUCGCCUCCUGCUGUGACCGAUAAGACCCUUCGAAGGAUAGCUCACUCUCUGAAGAAGUACAUCGAACCCCUCCCCAUCGUGCCCAAGAUCUCUGGCUAUUCCACGCAGGAUGGACAUCCAAAGUCUAUCAGUCUCACCAUUGGCAUGUUCCAUAAGAAAUGGGUAACAUUCUAUUUCCUCGAAACUUGCUGUAGCUUAUUAGGACAUGUGGAGACAUCUUAAUGAAUUGUUGCAUGGUCGAUCGGUCUUACAUAGUUAAAUUUAAUGUAUUAAAAAUCAUGGUAUAUAUAAUGUUAAUCUAUGUAAUUUCUCCUUUAUUUGUUCAUGCAGAAGUUCCACCGGGAUUUGCCCGCCACCACCCUCUUCGUCUACGGCGCUAGCCGCGAGGCGGCCACAUUCCCAGGCCCCACCAUCGAGGCCCUGCAGGGGGUCCCACUCAAUGUUACCUGGGAGAACCACCUCCCGGAGAAGCACAUCCUGCCUUGGGACCCGACGGUCCCGGUGGCCAUCGCCAAGCACGGCGGCGUCCCUGCUGUCGUCCAUCUCCACGGCGGCGUCCAUGAGCCGCAGUCCGACGGCAGCGCCUUCGCGUGGUACACCGCCGACUUCCGUGACAAGGGCACCAAGUGGACGCAGGCCACCUACCAUUACCCCAACGUGCAGCACCCUGGCAAUCUCUGGUACCACGACCACGCCCUCGGCCUCACCCGCGCCAACCUCCUCGCCGGCCUCAUCGGCACCUACGUCAUCCGCAACCCCUUGGCGGAGGCCCCCUUCGGCCUCCCCACCGGAGACGAGUACGACCGCCAGCUCGUCCUCGACGACCGGAGCUUCUACGAGGACGGCUCCCUCUACAUGAACUACACCGGCAACAACCCCACCAUCCACCCGCAGUGGCAGCCCGAGUACUUCGGGGAGGUCAUCGUGGUCAACGGCAAGGCGUGUCCGUACCUCGCAGUCCAGGGCCGCAGGUAUCGCUUCCGUAUCCUAAACAGCAGCAACGCCCGUUACUUCAACCUCUCCUUGUCCAACGGCUCGUCCUUCACCGUCAUCGGCUCCGACGUGUCGUACCUCCGGAAGCCCGUCACCGCGUCGUGGAUUCUCCUUGCACCGGCCGAGAUCUUCGACGUCGUCGUCGACUUCUCCGAAUCAAAAACUUCCACCGUCAGGCUAACGAAUAGCGCGCCUUACCCAUUCCCCGGCGGAGACCCGGUGAGCACCCUGAGCAGCAAGGUCAUGAAGUUCGUCGUAUCUCCCAAGAAGACCAAGGACGACUCUAGGAUUCCAGCUAGCUUGAUGACCAAUUACCCCAAGGCGGACGAGAAGGAGGGGACGGUACGGAGGUACAUCGUGUUGUACGAGUACCAGAGCACGACGGGCGAGCCGACGCACCUGUAUAUCAACGGGAAGAGACUGGAGGACCCGGCGACGGAGACGCCGAAGCAGGGGAGCACCGAGGUGUGGGAGGUGAUCAACCUGACAGGGGACAACCACCCUCUUCACCUGCAUCUGGCGACGUUUCAGGCGGUGCGGGUGAGGGAGCUGGUGAAUCUGGAGGCGUUCAAAGCGUGCAUGACGCGGAAGAACGACGCCGUCAAGUGCAACGUGAAGGCGCAUGCGACGGGGCAGCUGAAAGCCGUGCCGGAGCACGAGAAGACGUGGAAGAACAUAGUGAAGAUCGAGCCGGGCUACAUGACCACGAUCGUGGUGAAGUUUAAGCUCAUCGAUAGAGACGCGCACUACCCGUUUGAUGCAACAGCCGAGCCAGGUUACGUCUACCAUUGCCAUGUAAGUGAUUCCUAAGUGCGCCCUUCUUAUGUGCAGAGCAUAUGGUCUGUGUGACUCAACUGACUUGCAAUUCCUUGUGUGCGUGCAGAUUCUUGAUCAUGAAGACAACGCAAUGAUUCGACCCCUGCUGCUGAAGCAUUGAUGGAGGACAAAGCGUUCCUCGUUGCAAAUUCCAGCAGCUACAUGUACGUCAUUACAGUACAGCGGUACAAUAGGCUAUAUGUGUUUCAUUUCCUUGCUCCUCUAAUCUCUAUCGUUGGGGUUUUAGAGUUGGGACAUAAAUAAAGCCCGACAAAGGAGUGUUUGUCUUCGUCUACGUAAAAUUUGUAGCCUUGUGAUCGAACGUAUUGUAUUUGUCUCGAGCACUUUGUCAGUUGUUCGUAAAGUGUUCUCCCAAUAAUAAGUCAUAUUUUCCCACAUAGUUAGGAGCAGUCAAGCGUUCGUCUCUUCAUGCUCAGUGUGUGUGUGUGUGUCAGUUUGUUCGACGUUCAAACAAGCUGGUGGUGCGGUUCACUGUGACCGAGUAAAGGAGAGAGAGAGAGAGAGAGAGAGAGAGAGAGAGAGAAGCGUCUGAAAGAGACGAGGGCAAAAACCGAGAGCUAAGGACAAGCGUCUCAUUCACUAAGGGGCGGCUCUUAGAGCGCCAGAUGAACAAACCAAACGAGGAACGCUGCAAAAUGGACCCUCCUCUCAAACGCCUCUUCUUCUUCUUCUACUGCUAAUUCCUACCACACUCACCGAACUGACUCUCAUUCAUUCCACAAGUAGUAACUUAAAUGGGGGUGAUGAAUGAGCUGCAAAAAUUUCCAGUCAACUAGAAGUCAAAGUCCAUCCACCGCUCGAUGACGUCAAGGCUGGGGAAAUCUCCGUCGUCGAUCUCGUCGUCUAUGGGGAGAUCCGCCAGGGGAACCAACUCGUUAGCAUAAAGAUCCGACCCGAAAUUGCACAUGAGGAACGGAUCGAACCCGAAUCCGAACUCCGCCUCCAUCGGGCAAGGAAGGGGCGGCCCUUGCCCCUCGAACAGCUCUGCAAUGGACUGCUCCUCCACUUCCACCGCCGUUGUAGUUUUUGCCGGCGGAUCCACGACGCCGGAGAUAGGGACGUCCAGUACGGAGUAGGGGGAGGCCGGGGCCGCCACUUCCACGGCGUCGGAGCGCACCGAGGCGCAGGCGGCGGCGGUGAUGGUUGUGGUCGAGGAGUUGGAUGACGCGACGGAGGAGAGGCCCUUCUUCUCAGCCUGGAAGACGAGAGCGGCGGCAGCGUAGGCGGCGGCGGCGGCCUCCGCGGUGUCGUAGGUGCCGAGCCAGCGGCGGGCGCCGCGGAUGGGGUCGCGGAUCUCGGCCGCCCAUUUCCCCCACGGCCGCCGCCUGACUCCCUUAAACUUGGUGAGGGAGGAAGCGGUCGAAGACGAGGUGACAGAGCCGAGACAUCUGUCCUUGGGUUUCCGAAGGGCUUUUGAGUUACGCCCGGUGCUCUCCUGCGACGAGGCCUGCGCCAGGGGAAGAGGGAAAGGGGGAGGCAACGGGAACUCGUGAAUCGCCCUCUUCCCGCGGGGGGAGUUCGUCCCCUCGCAAUCGCUCGAAUCAGUGGCGUCAGGAUCAUCGAAAACGAUGCGGAUUCUUCGCAUCAACUGUUUGGAUUCGAUCCUGGGAGUAGAAUCGGAUCGUUGGAGCUGCUUUAACCCCCUCCUCCUCUUCCCCAUCUUAUCCUGCUUCAUUCCACGCUGCAGCUCCAGCACUUUGCUUCUCUUCCCAACACCCAAAACAAAAAAGGAACAAAACCGAAAGAAAAUUAAGCAAAAAAAAAAAAAAGUAGGUGGUUUUGAUCUCUCCGUCAAGUGAAGUCUCCUCUAGAGAUGAUGUCAAGGUAAUAGCACCGCUUUAUAUGCUGAAAUCCAAAAUACUUCACUCCAAACCCAACCCUGCAACAAAAAAUUAGAGAAAGCCCUAACAAUCGAUCUUUCCCGAAUCUUAUCUUCUAAGAGAAAUAACGAGAAUGAGAGGGGUGGGACGGAUGGGUACCGGAUAUAUCGCAUCGAAUCCGUCUUCUUGGAUCCCUCCGGCCUCUGUCGCAUGCGGAUAGAAGAUGAGACGUGGGAAGAGGAGGAGGAGGAGCAAAAAGGCGAGACCACCGAUGGUACAAGAGGCAAAGCACUGCUGAUCCAAAGCUUCGAUCUUUCCGGGACGGAGCGACGAUAGACGGAAGGAACCAGACGACAUAAAUCCAACCUCUCGCUCGCUCCUGUCCUCUCUAAAACCCCGGGAGGAGGAGGGCGGAGGGCAGCGCCAAAGGAAGGAAGGAGAUGGGGUCGGGGCUCAUUUAUAGCAGCAGCAAGAGCGAACCGGAAAGGGGUGGGUGAACGAGUGACCCUGAUCCGUCGCCGGCCCCACCUCCUUUGGUGCGAAUCUCGACGAGAGCGAUCAGUAAUCAAACGGCUGAAACAACCAUCGGGUGAGAAGCGGGUUAGUGUCAUUCGCGGUGCGUGAUUUAGACGAUAAAUAAAUAAAAUAUACCCAAAAAAAGGUUUCCUUUUAUUUUAGAAUUAUUACUUUCAAGAAAUAGGUGAAGGAGAAAAACAAGAAGAUACUUAAAUAUCAGAUUCAUACGGUGGUGAGGAAAGAUUUGCGGUCAACUUACGGUGGCCUCGUUCAUGUACAUGAUUGAUAUGACAGAAAUUUUUUGUUCAUCGGAUCUUAAAAAAAUUUGUUUUUUGAGAGAAUAAUCGUGAUAGAUUCGUACUGUUUGAUUGAUGCACUCGUUAUCUUUGGUAAGAUAUUAGAUUGAGAUCUUCAUUCAAAUGGAAACAAAUAAAAUAAUUAGAUUGAUAUUAUUAUUAUUAUUGUUGUUGUUAUUAUUCAGAUAUAAAAUCUACGUGCAUGCAUGCUUGACUUGGCAUAAUCUAUUGAUUAAUUGGCCCUACGUACGUUGACGAAAAGAAAAAGUCAAAACCUGGAAUAGUUCACCUGAUGACGAAAAGAUUAGGAACGUGUCAUUCACUCAUUAUGUUUUGCAAUGUAUCAAAUAGAUAACUCUAGUCAUCAAUUUCUAUUAAGUUAAGUGAUCGUUGGUUAAAUAUAAACAAAUAGAAUGGUUAGAUUUACCCUAAUGAAUAUUAUUAUUAUUAUUAUUUAAAGAUAAAAUCUACCUUUUACAACCAACCAAACGUGCGUAUGCGCAUGAGUUUGACUUGGACGAAAAAUCAAAAGUCAAAAUUUGAAAUAGUUGACCUUUACAAGGGUUUAUAAUAUUAUCUAUCGCAUGAAAUAAAGUUGAAAUCAUCAGUGGAUAUGAUGAUUUACAACUUUAUGUAUAUACCAACUUAAAUCCAUAUUAUUAUUAUUGGACUAUAUAUAUAUGUUUAUGUUUAUGUCAAUUUUAUUUCUUAUCUCCUAUGACAAUUUAAAAAUAAAUAAAUAUCAUUUUCACAAACUAAUUAUUAAUUAAUGCCAAAAUUCAUGUAGUUUUUCUUGUAAUCCCAAUUAGUGCAGUAGUAACCCAUAUCACAAGUAAAUCGUUUUUCUUCGAAUUACUCCACAAUUCUACACCGUUGGAUGCCCAUCAGAAGGUCGAGUCAUGUGGAUUACAUCGUUGAAUUAGAAAACCGAUGACCCCUUUACUGCUUCUCACGGCUUUCGCCUUUCACGGACAAACACCACCUACCGUUUCUAAAAACAAGGAAAAGGUAAGAGAGAGGAGAAGCGUCCGAUUUCCAUCAGACGGCAGGCAGCGUCUCUGACCGCCACGAGAGAUCCGCGUACUCCGGCGCCGCGCACGCUGUCGCGUCGCCGUAAUCGAAAAGCUCGCCGUCGAACACUACCACGUCCUCCGCCUCCGCCCCGAUCCCAAGUUCGAAUCCAACGUACCCACUGAGAUCGUCGUCGUCGAACCCCCAGAUCUGGCCGAACCCGAUCCCCUCCUCCUCAUCGUACGCUUCGCUGCCAUCACCGGACGAGGACGGAGCCGGCGGUGGCAGGCCGAGCUCGUCGUCGGAGGCCUCGAAGAGGUACCCCAAGUCCGGCGGGUCCGACACCGCCGCAUCCUGCGGGGGUACGUGCGGCGGGGGCGAGGGGAGGGCCAUCUCCUCCUCGAGGCUCUUCAUGACGGAGGUGACGUCCUGGUCCCCGGCGUCGGCGUCGGCGUCGUCGUCGUCGUCGUCGAGGAUGUCGAGGAGAAGGCGCUUGGCCUCCGGAGACGACAUCUGAGGCGAUUCCUCCUCGCCCUCGUCGCGACGCCUCUUGCGGCUGAUGGACGGAGAAGACAUUUCCAUUAGGGUAAAAUGGGAAAAAGGAAGGAAAAGCGCACGGAGAACAGCACUAGUACGCGUGUGAAUAGGUUCGUGAACGGCGUAGGGGACUUAUAUAGGGAGGCGAGGGAGGGGGGUUUGGGAUUUUGCUCUUCUCUUUCCCAGGGGCUUUUUCGUAAACAAGAAAAGUAUUGGCCGAUUGUACCAGACGCUCAAUAAGUCACGAAACACGGGGGGCUUAAGGUGGAGGCGCAGUGGGCGCGGAGAUCGGGGAAUAUGGGGGCCACCGCAUCACGAGCGCCGGGCGGGUCGCCUUUUACUUUUGGUUUGGCUUCGUCUUCUCGGCUCGGCUGGAGACGGUUUCCCCUAUCUUAAUCUCCAUCGGCGAGUACCGUUUCCUGCGGCUUCUAUGUUGUUUGGGGAAUCACUAACGGAUCCAAACCCUCUCUCUUUGACCGCGUUUUGGAUAGGAUAACUUUGAAUCGAUCAAAGAUAAUUGAAAUUUUAGUUGCCCUAAAAUGUUAAUAUGGCCACGUGUUCUAGUCACCCUCGCGAGAUUCCAUCUGCGUCCCGAAACUUGCGCCCACCGACGCGGGCACGUUGGCGAUGGCGUCGAGGGAGGUAGGGAAGUAGCUGCAUGAGUGGCUGCAAGUGGUGUUCGGUGGUCGAUCGGGGACAGCGAUUCGAUGCGGCAGAGGGUUAGUGGCAUUUAUCAUCCAGCUCUCAGUGGCGUGCGGCUCGUGAUGACUCGUGCGACGGCUGGCCGAACCGGUGGAGCACGGGCAGGAGGACACGUGGGUAGCGACGGCAACGUGGCAGGCGUCAGACCGAGACGGGGAGGAGAUCACGUGAGACCGGAAAAGAGAGAGAGAGAGAGUGCGCGUGUGCGUGUGAGGGCUGCGGGUGUGGGGACCACAAAGCGGGCGUGACCGACAGGUGAAAUAAUUGAGAGAGACAGAUCGGUCAAAGAAGCGAAGCGACGAAGCAAAGGCUGCGGUGGGGCGGGGACCACCGCCAACGUGUUCGUCUUCCUCCUCCUCCUGUCGCCAUUCAAUGACAAUAUAUAUAUAUAUAUAAUUUUUUUCCUUAGAUUAACAUACUAUAAUUGACAUGAAUUUUUGCCUCUUGCAAUAUUGUUUAUUGUAAAGUAUUAGAAGAACACAGUUGUAAGCUUGUAGUUUGUUUUGACGAGGUUUAGGAAUCAUUAGGUUAAUUUAUUGUAUUUAUCUUUAUUCUUUAUAGUGUUUUUUAAUGAUCUGUCCAAAACAUAGUUUAGUUUUUGAAAAACACUAUAAUUGACAUACACAUCUACCUCAUAUGAUAUCGUUGAUCAUAGAAUAUUAGAAUACUAUAUUUAUAAGCUUUUUCUUAUUUUGGUAGAAUAUUAGAAUACUUAUUUAUAAGCUUUUUUUAUUAUUUUGGUUGAGAUUAAGAUUCAAUAGUUAUAUAUAUAUAUAUAUAUAUAUAUAUAUAUAUAUAUAAUAAUAAUAAUAAUAAUAAUAAUAAUAAUUACUUUAUAUAUAUAAAUAAUAAUUAUAUAUCUAUUCGUAUCUCGUGGUCGAGUCCGCGUUCCGUUAGCCGGAACAGCGUUUCCCUCGCCGCUACCAGACAUAACCCAUCCUCGAUCUUUGUCGCUUGUGUUCUGUCACGUCUGUUCGAACAAGGGAGGAGGAGGAGGAGAGGCGGCAGUUCCCCACGCGAACGGGAAGCUCUCUCACUCUCCCCCUUUAUUGCUUUUAUCCGCUUCUGCUCGUUCCUAUAGUUCUUGUCCACUGUCUUCCUCUGUUGUGUCUUAGGGUUCUUGAGUCGUUGUUGGGUCGCGGAUGAUUUCUUACAGCCGAUAGUGUCGAGUGUUUCUUAAUUCUUAGGUUUCUGCAGAAUAUUGAGUAGUAUAUAUGUGACACAUUAUUUCCUGCAACCCUUAGUAUCUCCGUUUCUGAGUUAGGGUUUUUCGAGAAUAUUGGGUGUUAAUUGCGUGACGGAUGAUUUCUUGCAACCCUCGGUUCACGUUUUGGGCUGCUCGGCUUUACUUGGGCUGUUCGCUUUAUCGAAUUGUGCUUCUUGAAUCGGCUAUGGAGAUUUAGUCAGGUCGUUUGGCAUGAAUUUUGGACAUAAGCUUUCGCAAAGCACUCAGAAUUUCGUUUUCUACAUCAUACCAAACUUAUUAGGAUUUGAGAAUGCUAAGCUUCCUCCAAAAAGCUACUUUUGUUGUAUGCAUAUGAAAGGUGGACAUACCACCUGCUUUAAGCAUCCGUCAGAGCUUUACAUCUAACUAGUAUUAUAAUUUGUUCCCAAGUAGAGGGUUUUUUGGCAUGGAUUUUGGACAUAUAGUACCUUUUUGUAACAAAAGAAGUGGUUCUAUUAAUUCAUUGGCAACUGUGACUUGCUGGAUGGUUGGGAAGUCUACUUGCUGGUGGAGGUGGAAGCAGUCGUUUUAACUCAUAGUGCUUUUAUUUGUGCCAUUGAAGGUCUAUUAGGAGCAACAUUGAUGAUCAUAAGUCAUAUGGGAGGCCCAAAUCAGGCAGUUUCAGGAAACGAUCUCGAGACCAGUUUGAUAAUGCGAAAAGGAAGAGGCAUAAUUCUAGCCUUGGUCGUGGUUCUACGACAACUAAACCUAUUGAUACUAUUUAUCGCAUACUUUUGUCCUGUGAAAAAGAUUGGUAAUGUUCUUGGGAAAGGAGGUGAAAUAAUUAACGCGCUCAGAGGUGUGACCCAUGCAAAGAUAAGGGUUGCAGAUGCUGUUCCCGGGGCAGAGGAGAGAGUAGUUAUGAUCUUUUGUUACCUGUGGCAAUCCGAAAGAAAUGAUUCUGAUCAGGAUCCCUAUGAUAAUGAUGGAAUUGAGUUAGAGGAUAUGCGUUCCCGUUGUCCUGCACAAGAUGAUUUACUGAAGAUCCACUAUUGGAUUGCUGCAGAUGAGAUUCUACGAGGUGGUGUGAUACAAGAAAAUACUGAACCUGAUGGUGUUGUUACUGCUCGAAUUUGGUUCGCCAAGAAUCAAGUUGGGUGUCUUCUUGGCAAGGGUGGAACAAUUAUUCAGUAACUUCGAGGUGAUACUGGUGCAAAUAUUCACAUAUUGCCUUCGGAUCGCUUUCCACCUUGUGCCAGGAACAGUGAUGAACUAGUACAGGUAAUAAUACCAUUUCAUGGGCAAUUUAUAAUUUGUGUUUUUGAAGUUUGCUAUGGUAAUUGCGAACCAUGUGAAGAAUCUCUGCUCUUUUAAAAUUAAAGCUUGUUUGAACAUAUGCAAUUGGGUGCUUCGGAUUGUGAUUUUGAGAUGCAUGGUUCUUCUAAUCGAUCGAAGACAAAGUCUGCCACCAUCUCGAGCAUUCCAUCCAUAUUAGUCUGACUCGGAGUAAGAGUUUUUUUUUCCUCCAUGAUAAAGAAUGAGAGUAUAUGCUUGCUUAUAUAUAUCUGUUAUUGUAGACAAUAGUAUGUUUAGAGGCUUGAAGGUGAUCAUUCUUUUCUCAAUGAAUUGAUAAUAUUGUUGUUCCCAGUUGUUUUAAUGCAUGCAUGCUGAAUUCCUCUGGAACAAUGAAGAUGCUUUUGCUGGAUGCCUUUAGCCAUCCAUUCGUUUUGAACAGUUGCUCUAUGCGCAGUUCUCUGAAGGACCUGCCAGCAUCGGAAAUCAAAGCCUCCCCAAACCAACUCGAAGAAUCAAAAGAACAAGCAGCAAGUUGAAGCUGGAGAGGAUGAUUUCACCCUGAUGCGUUUUCCUAGUCGUUCGAAGCAAGUCCAGCAAAAUUCAGAAAAAAGGUUCGACAUCUGCCUGCAUCUCAUGUGACUUACACUAGCCUAGAAUAACCAAGUACACACAUACACACACACAAAAGAAGGUAAAAGCAAGUUCUUUUGCUGCAAUGGUGAUUCCCUUUUGAUCCCUUUGGGUCACUCAUCACACCAGGAUUUGUUGCAUUUGAUGCUCUUGCGGGCGCAACACAAAUUGUGAUAUAACAAACGUAGUUCAGUUUGCUUCACUGCUUUUACAGGUGAUGAUGAGCCCGCCAUACCCCACCUUCCGGGUGUCACGUGCCAAACCUCUUUGGUCAUAUUAUGCCAUCGAGUCAAAGGGUCAUUGGAGCCAUGCCGGAGUUUAGCUUGUAAUUGUUGAAUCAGGUCACCACUGCUGACCCACUUACUUUCAGAGGAUAUGAUGAUAACCUUCGCUUUAAGAGUUUUGUUCGUGUCAUCCCACUUUCCUCACCACAAAGCAGCAGUUCGUCAUCGUGCUCGCUGCAACGCACAUUACCACCACCCCACCCUCAUAAAUGGACACCGGCAGUCUCCCCCUUGCAUUCCUCCGAGUGAUUGGCCUGCAAGCUCCCAGCUAACCAGUUUCUCAUCUCUCUUGACAUGGCCAAACCUCCCAAGAAUAGGCUGUGAUGUUUGUCUUCCAUGUCUCCGCCUUCCUCGUCCUCCUCCACCUCGUCACCUUCCUCCUUACCAAGCUGUUCACCUCCCUCCUUGAAAGAGUUGCCGCUUCGACAGACCAAAGGUACUCAACUACGUUGAUCCUCUCUUUCUUACUGUCUCUUUACUAACCUUCUAUUGCAGGAAUUCGCAGCUCAUCAGCGAAGAUGAGAUCAAGCCCAUAACAACGUACGAGUGCUACUCUGAUGUCGAAGAGUUAGCUGCCAGCAUCUUUGGCACGGAAGACGGCCUACUGUUUUUCUACGACGAAAGCAUCACUGCUGAUACCCCACUUCUCGAAGAAGCAAAAGACUUCGAUGAGCGACACGCCUUCAAAGUCGACGAAAGCUUUGUCGCAGAAUCCCCUCUGGAAGACCAUGAAGGUCUCGGGCUCGAGCAUGGCGAUGUUGCGGCGAUCGUCGACCUAAAACCAUCGAAUCAUCCACCUUCAAUCAUAUCUAAUGGGCCUCUAAAAGGUACCUUUAGAUGCCACUACUUGUUGGAAGCAUAAAGCCUUCUGUUGAUAUAGCUUAUGCUGUUGAUUACAGAUGAAGAUACGGGUGGGGAUGCGCUCCACAGCAAUGAAGAUGAGAAGCAGCAGGAGUUGUCAAAGAAGGAGAAACUCUUCAUCGUCGACCGAACCCAUUCUGUCGACAGCAAAAGGUUGCAGCUGGAGGAGGACACGUUCGGUGGUUCUCUCACAGGUGCAUCGACAUCCAAGAGCUCUAUGGAGUGGAGAAGCUCCACGAUCUUCAGGGACUCGGAGACAGAAUGCCCCUUCUCCUCCUCAUCACGCAGGAGCUCUUCCAACUGGGAAACGUACACCUUGUUCCGCAAGUACGACGAGGAGAUGAUGUUCUUCGAUAGAAUCAGCGCACAAAAGCUGACGGAAACAGGUCACUCGUCAUGCAUUUCUCACAUCCUCCCUCGACAAAUUUGGUUCACGUAUUGACAAGAUCACGUAUACCGUAAUUUUCAGAAUUAUUUAGAUCGAUGAAGUUCCAACCAAGAUCAACCUCGCAAAGGAUAGCUCACAUAUUUACAACACACAAGAACAGGGGAAGCAGGGAUCCGUAUCAAGAACUGGAGGGUGCUUAUGUGUCUCAGAUUUGCCUCGCAUGGGAAGCUCUUAACUGGAAUUACACCAACUUCCGGCGAAGGAUUGCCAAGGGAUCAGACAGCGAAAGCUCUUCUUGCACCGCAUGGAUAGCUCAGCAAUUCCAACAGUUCCAGGUCCUCUUGCAGCGAUUCAUAGAAAAUGAGCCUUAUGAGCGCGGUCGGAGGCCCCAAGUCUUCGCUUGGAAGCGGAUUUCUUCUCCAAAGUUGCUCCAAGUUCCUGAGUUCCGAGGUUGCUACACACCUGUCUCCUUUGCCUCAUUGCCUAUCUUUUAGACUUUCCCAAGUGCUAACCUCUCUCUCUCUCUCUCUGCAUCACUGACCUCAAAAGAUACAGAAGCAGAUGAAGGUAAAGAAGAAAUGAU
This 45868-nucleotide long non-coding RNA is filed under the name Musa acuminata (dwarf banana). Its description in RNAcentral is "long non-coding RNA (MACU_LNC001037)". The record is from RNAcentral. Lineage: Eukaryota; Viridiplantae; Streptophyta; Magnoliopsida; Zingiberales; Musaceae.